UUUUUUUUUUUUUUUCUCUUCCUCUAAGCUUUUUCUCUAUCCAGAAAAGCACCGCAUCCUCAAACUGCUUAUAAAAGUGCUUAUUUGGUUAGUUUUUUUUCACUAGCUGAUGAAACAAAGGCCAAAACGACAGCGGUGUUAUAUAGACAACAAAGUGUUGUAAAAUCCGAUGGUUAACAGAAGCCCGCAAUUUGUUGAUAAAAAAUAAAUAAAUAAAUAAAGGGUAAUGCAAUUCACACACCCCUUUUUACCUCCCACACAUCCUUAUUAAUUUUUAUCCAUUGAUCAUCUUCAAUUCAUUUGAUCCGACGGCCGGAAAUUAAGAAGGUGUGUGAGAAGUAAAAAUGGGUGUGGCUAGCACCACCCUAAAUAAAUAAACCAAAAGACCGCAAUUUUGACAUAAACCUAAUUAGCUGCUAAGGUAAGGUUAAGCCAAUAUAAGGGGUUUUUCACAAUAAGCCUCGGAAUACUCUCUUUAAUGAUUAGAUUACUGAACAUAAGCUCAAAAAGUUGAUAGAGGAUGUUACAAUGUGAUCGUCAAAGUGUUUCUCACUAAUAUUAACAGUUGUUAAGAGCUAACUUAUAACUUGUUUAAGGACUAAUUGAGUUUACCGAUCUUUCUUCGUUCUUGAGUGUGUGCCACGUGGAAUGAUGUUACUGCUAAGCAACAAGACAACAUGUCGUAAACAUUGGAUGAGGAUCCUCUUUGGGUCUUCUUUGUGAGGAUCUUAGGGAUUAAUUUAUUCUAGUCGUUUAUCGUACAGUUUGUAGCCAACUUUUGUUAGGUAUUAUUUGUGUUCAAUUUAAAUAAAAAUUUCAAAAUAAUUUAUUGCCGCAUAAUAUCUGAUGAACGGAUAGGAUAAAAUGAUCUCCUUCCAAGGGACUGUUUGGCAAGCAAAGCAGAUCAGAUUGGUAGUUUUAGUACAAAAGUAUUUGUAUUGUACCACUUUUCAAGUGCAUUUUGAAAAACACUUGGAAGUGCUUCAUAAACUAACAUCCAUCAAGUGCUUCUUUUCAAAAAACUUCUAUGAAUUAAAAGCUCUUCUAAACUUUUUGUCAAAGUCAGAGACAACCAAUUAUUUCAAACACCAAAUGAUUACAUUUAUUGAUGGAAUCAUGCCACAAUACUAUACUGAUCAUAUGCAUUGUGGAUGUCUGGAAGGUUAGAAUUCGUGGAGAAAUUAAACCACCUCUUUUGUUUCGUGUGCUCGAUGCAAGGAUGCAGAAGCAGCCCGAUGAUCACCGCAGCGAUGCUAACAGCCAUUACCUUUGGAGUAGCAAGAGCUAAAACUACAAAGAUUAACACCGUCGGAGGAAUGCAGAUCAAAAUUGCUCCCACUGUACCCACCGGUAUCUUAAAAGGCCGCGAUGCAGCUGGGUGUUUCAUCCUCAAUUUCACAAACGCAAUGAAUUCCAUUAUCAUUCCGAAGCAAUACAAGUAGUUCUCAGCAGCUACAAUCUCUUGGAAGCUCAACCAGGAAAGCAAGAUUACACCGGACGCAGAGAAUAAGAUUCCGGUAAGCGGUGUGCCGUAACGAGAUCUUUUGGCAAAGAUUGAAGGAAGCAUCCCACGUUCUGCCAUACCCAAAAGUUGAAACGAGUCGCUGCUCAUUUCAGCCACAAACAUACCCAUGUUUGACAAAGCAGAAGCUGCUAGGACCCAGGUUCUUAACCAUACACCUCCAAGCAUUUUAGCAAUAUCUGCAAAAUACCCAUCUGACCAUAGAUCACGUUCAACUGGAACAGCUCCGGUACCAAUCAGAAGAGGGAAAAUGUAUCCAACCACAACCAAGAUAAGGGCAUAAAAGAGAGAUUUCGGAAGAGUUGUACCAGGGUUUUCCACCUCCCCUGCAAGAGUACUAAUUGAAUCCCAGUAAUUAAGAUUCCAAAACAGCGUGUUCAAGUACAAAGUCCAAUUCACAGUCUCCAGGUUUACCACAAACCAAUUUGAAGGAUUUAGUUUGGGGAUUGCUAUAAAUCCCAUGAAUAUGAAAGGAAGAAGUGAAAACACCCCCAGUAAGAUAGCAGCCCAACCCACUAUUGUCAAACCCCUGUAGUUCAUGUAAGUGAGCAUUGCUGUCAAAACCAACACGGCAACUGUCCUUGGGAGACCGCUUUCUAAAGCCGGAAUUGCUGAUUUGAGAUAGUCAAGAAACAGAACAGGGUAUAGAGCGUUAUCAAUCACCCCACUAAGCCAUUUUACCCAUCCUUGCUGAAAGCCCCAGUACGGUCCCAAAGCCGAUGAGACCCAAACGACAUAUCCCCCAUUCUCAGGGAACAUAGUACCCAUUUCUGCAGUUAUCAAGGCCUCUGGAACACUCCAUAUGAUUGCAAAAACUAGAAAACCAAGAAGGGCUAAAAGGGGACCGGCUGCCUGGACACUAUCUUCGACACCAAAUGGACCUCCUGAGACCUCGUAGAAGAUCAAGAACACAAGAGGUAUAAUUGAAACCUUUUGAUACUUAUGUAAGUCGUGAGAGGAUCCUUCCCCCAAACGAGCAUACUCAGCAAUAUUGUUGUCCAACAUUUGCCUAAUAGGUGAGUUUCUAUGUUUCUGCGCAUAAUGUAGUAAACAUACUCUUACGAAAUGCCAUGGAUUACUGGAUUUCGACUGUUAAAGUGAAAAGGGAACCGAAUACUGCAGAAGCUAACAUUGUUCCUAGUUAUUAUAUCUAAAGCCAUCACUUUCAAGCAAAGGCAAUUACUUUCACAGUAAAAAAACACAUAAAUUUAACUGAAUUCACAACAGGAUUAAGAAAAACUAUACAAAAAGAGUAUAAUUUUCUAUAAUUCCAGAAUUCCAUUCAUUGGGAAGAAGAUAAAUUCCUUGUAAAGUCUUUGUCAUGCAACAAAUACAAAAUUGUUUACUCAAAUCACAAACGCUCAUUCCAUCAAGCAAUGAAUUUCCAGCCACAAAAUACAGGCAAACCGGCAAAAGAACCACAAAGCACAAACACCCACCAAAACUAUCACAUCAAAUUGAUAAAAACUAAACAAAAUAACAAUGUGGGUUCUCUCAAAGCAGCCAUAUAAAGCAAAAAUCUCACAUCCCAAUUAGGCAAAUUCCAAAUUAAUACAGCAUCAAUGAAUCAAUUAAAAAAAACCCAAUGGGGAAAUGUACCUCUCUUUCUGGCUUAACAAUCCACGACCGAUUUCAAGAACAACUCGGUGAAGAAACAAAAAAGGCCAAAAGGGGGGCGGGGGCGUUGAGUAAAGAAGAAGAAGAAGGAGGAGCUAACCAUGAAAAGGAGGCAAGAGAGAGAAGUGGCCUAAUCGGAUUUGCGGUGCUUUAUCGAUGCGUCAUGAUGUCAGAGAAGCGAGCAUCUGCGUCUCCACCACGCGUCGGUCUGAGUGGACGCACACGAAUCUGAUUCAGCUGUAGAGUGAGAGCGCUGCAUCGCCGACACAGUUGGACACGGCUGCAGAGAAAAACAAACACAGAUUUUCAAGUGUUGCGUUUAUUACAAGGAGGCAGAUUGUCUGCCUUUUGUUAUGGUGUCGUUACCAUUCUCUUCUAUAUUUAUACGUUCAUGGUUAAACCACGUUAAUAUUUUAUAUUAAUUUUUUAAUAAAAAUAAUAAGAUAAAAAAUGAUAAGAAUAUAAAAUAUUAACGUAAUUUAACUGUAAUCGUACAAAUAGAAGACGAUGGAAAAGACAUCAUAACAAGAGGGCAGACAAUCUGCCUCCUUAUUACAAGGACCGUUAGCAUAUGGAAUGUCGGAUAUGCAAAAGCAUGUUUAUAGGGUUUGAUUGAAAUGGAAAAAGGAGUUUUACUGAAGGUCGGGUUACCAACGAGACGUGGUUGAUUUUGGACCGUUAGUAACUACGAGUCUUAUAAUGACCUAUGGUUGAUAAUCCCCCACCUGUUUAACAUGCAUAAUAGUUUGUUAAAUAAUGCUAAUACUUAGACAUUUAGUAUCACGAGUUAGUGUUUUUUAAGUAAGAUGUAAUUUUGAAUCUCGUGAAUGACGAGUUCAAUGUUAAUUUAUUUUUUCCAUUAUUUAGUAUAAAGCAUCUUCAAUGCAAAAUAUAAAAUACCUUGAAAUUAGUAUCCCUUUAUAUAUUUUAGUUGGCUGUAAAACAUUCCAACGACGGAAUGUAAAAUCUAUUUCUCGUGUCUUUGUCACUGCAUUAUAAGCUCACCUAAUUCAUGCGGGAUAUUCCGAAGAUGAUCUAAAGGCUAUAAAUGUGUUUUGGCCCCCUUUACUAUUCAUUGGGUCACAUAAGUACAUUUCAUUUAAUUUUUAAGCUGGAAAAUAGAAAUCAAUAAAAUAUUGAAUACUUAUCACAGUUUGAUCUUGAAAUUGGACCUUCCAAUCAAAAUGGACCCUUAAAUAGAAAAUCAAUUAAUUUGAUUUCUAAAAAUGGAUCAUACAUAUCAAUUUGAUCAUUCCGUUAGCAUUUCAUCAAAUUUUAUGUUAGUGUGCUGAUGUGUCGCACAAGUAAGUUCUAUUUAUCCACUCAUAUGUCCGCUUUAGUAAAAUCUGCUUGUUUUUAUUUUUUGUUUCUUUUUUAUUUGUUUUAUCAAAAACUUGCUUGUUUAACCACGAGUAGGUGUUCCAGUUAUAAAAGACGGGUUGCGAGGCUUCCUUCAAACUAAAAACUAAAGGUCUUGGAUUCGAAACCCCAUGCUGGUGUGGAAGUCAAACUUGUGGCCAGGGGAAAGCUGAAAUGCCUCUGUGAGUCCUUCUGACUUUCGGGAGAAGUGGAUAACCGUGGCUUGCCACCAGUUGUUUCUUAAAAAAAAUAAAUAAAUAAAUAAAACUUGCUUGUUUGUUAGAUAUCUCUUUCAAGUUGUGCUCUCAUUUUUAAUGCCACUUAAUAUACAUGUUUGUUUGUUAGCUCCCCCUAUCUGUAUUUAUUGAAUUAAGUAGAAGGAGCAACAGACCAAAUACACAAAAUACAUGUUUUGGUACCUGUUGACCCUAAAAACUACCAAGCCUAUGUGGUGCGUAGGCUGAGUAAUUAAUAAGCUAACUAUGUCUUUCGAUUGUGUGCGGGGCAUGCCAACUCGACGGCUGAGCAGUAAAAUAUGUUGAUGUCACGUUGAGCGCGUUGCUGACUUCUUGAUUUUGUGACUGUGGCCGAGGAAAAAAUACAUCUCAGCCUUCAGAUUUUAGAGCCUGAAGACAAGGCUGCUAGUUCUGCGAAGUUCACAAAUCGUCGGUGCUGGGUUUGGUCACGAUGAUUAUAUUCGUGAGAGUAUAAGCACGCUGAACUGGCACCAGACUAUAUGGACAUAAAUACUCGAAAGAGAUGUAUGUCUUGAUGGUAAAUGUGGUUUGGCCGUCGGAAUGCCGAACUCUAAAAUGUACUUGUGAAUAUCCAAUCAUAAAACAACUUCGCGUUCAACGUGCCGAGCCUAGUAACCUGUAACACCUCACUUUGCCAAUAAGGCUGAUGACAUGACCUCUACUAACAAGGACUUGAAAAUCCUUGUUGACUAAGACUUGGAUAAAUAACCAGUCGGUCUCGAAGCAGUAUUGUUUAUCCAAACUGAAGGUGCUCAUUGAUCGGCUGAUUAUACUGCUCCAGUAUUGUUUAUCCAAACUAAAGAUGUCGCCAGUUGCCUUCACAGUGCUGUUUAUCCAAACUGAAGAUGUAUUGGCGAGAAGAAAAUGGGAGAGGAUAAAAUCUCAAAGGUUGUUGAGAAGUUUUGCGUAUAGCAAUUUGUGUGUUGAAUUGGAGGGCCUCAAUGUUGCCUGCAACUCUGUAUUUAUAGCAUCCAUCCUUUUGCUUGGCAUGACCUAAUAAUUUCUUGGAAACCAAUUGAAACUCAAACUCGUAGAAUUAAGGCUAAUCCGUGGCAUAGAUUGAAGCCUAUCUUCCAGAUGGUUGACUUUUCAAACAAAAUAAAAACCUAUCCCAUCACCCAUCCAAAAGCCUAUCUGUGGCAGACUUAUCCAUCAUAACCAAAAGCCUAGCCUACCUAGGCUUCUUACCUCAUCAUAAUUCCAUCAAAUCACUUCACCAAUUGAAUUCAUCAUGCACAUUUCCCCUAACGAAGACCAUGUACAUGCAUGAUGGUUCCUUCACCAAAUAAAACUCUAAAAGGUGAUUCUAAUUGAUGAAAUAUAAUCGCCAUAUCUCAAGAUAAAGCCACAUGCAACAACCCCAUUCACUCUAACACGUCCAUGAAUUCCAAGCCAAUUUGAAUUGUACCACCCACUUCAAUAAGACUUGGUUUUGAUAAUAAUUAGCCAUGUAGGAGAUUGCAUGCACCUGGGGCUUUGAUAUGAUGAGCCCAUUCAAAUGUCUUCGUGCAAUCCUUUGAAGACGGAUCAGAUCAUCUCUUUUCAAAACAAUCAAUUGGAUAUACCUAAUAUUAGGUUUAGAUAUCCUAAUAUAUAUUAAGAGAUAAUAUCAUAAUAUUAUUUUUCAAUAUUAAUUGAAAAUCAUUUCAACUAUUUUGUCAUUCAACUGUCUAAAAUUCUGCUCAUUCAACGACAUUGAUUACUUAGACCGAUGAUGUAAUUUUGAGUCCAAACAGUAACACAAACUAUGAAAUCUUGAAGUAAGAGACAAAACUUCAUAAAAAACAACCAAGGGGGCCCAUAUACACACAUCAUUAGAAUUUUAAAGCUGAAAAUAACAGACAAAGCAACCAUUUUGCAUAUUAAUCAAACUGAAAAAAACAAAAAAGUAAAGACUUGCUGUAUCUUGGAGAUUUGGACGAUGCCCACCGUCUUUUACCACAAUACCCAUUGUUAUGAGCUUCAAAGCUCAAGAUGAGGCCUGGGUAAAAAAUACCGAGAACCGAACCGAACCUGAUCGGUUCGGUUUUUUUUCGAUUCAUUCGUUAUGGGUACAAAAUCAGUUCGAUUUUUUGUGUAGUCGGUUCGGUUUCGGUUCUAUGUUCGGUACAUAACCGUACCGAUCAGUUUUUCAAUUAAAAUUGUUACAAUUUAUUGUGAUCAUCUCCUGAAAUAACUCUACAGCCUUGUUAGCAUAACCAUUCUUCGCAUAACCAGAUAUCAUAGCGUUCCACAGUAUUACGUUCGGCGUUUACAUCUGAUCAAAAAAUGAUUUGGCAGCCAUCACCUGCCCACUUUUUGCAUACAUUGCCGUGAGUGCAAUGAGCAAGUCAGGUUCAAAUUGAAGACCCAUUUUAAUCAAACAACCAUGAACAGAUGUCCCAUGUCCCAAGUCUUCUACAUCAGUAUAAGCUUUUAGAACACUAACAAGAACGAUCCAAUCCGGUUUCACAUUCAAUUUUCUCAUCAGACCAAAAAUUAUCAAAGCUUCCAAAGGCUGGCCAUUUUGGGCAUACCCCAAAAUCAUCGAAGUCCAGGAAACAACCGUCCUUUCACCUAAACCAUCAAACACAGCCCUAGCACGAUCUAUUCGACCACAUUUAGCAUACAACGCCACGAGACCAUUCUGCACAAAAACAUAUGAUUCAAACCCAUGUCUAAACACCUGUCCAUGAACCUGUCAACCCAUUUCGAAGUCCGGCAUGCCAUUGCAACCGUACCGAACCAAUACUUGGACCGAACCUAUUAGGUUCGGUACUAAAUCGGUACACCCAUUCGUACCGUACUGAACCGUACCAAAAUUUUACUACGGGUUUGGUUUCGGUACUACCUCGGUACCAAACCGUACCGAACCAUGCCCAGGCCUACUCAAGAUACCUUCGAAUUUUCUACUAAUUUGUUGAUUCCGCUGCUGAUUCUUCAUAUUCUCUCUGAGAUUCUAACCCUAGGAUGCCCACCGCCAACCCCAUAUACGUUCUUUGUGGCGCUCAUGCCUUCCUCUUCUAUCUAGCAACGAUUAGGUUUUGUUGUGGCAUAAAAUUACUUUUUUGCCUUCAGACAAUUGCCAUGUGUUGUGCACGUGAUCAAAAAAUAGAUGAAAAUUUUCAAAAUCUCACGUUAGAAGGGAAAAUUAACAAAUUAUAAAAGUUUAGAGAUAAUCGUUUAAAAUUAAAAUUAAAAAAAAAAAAUCGGCGAAUACCUUUCACGUUUUUAGAAAAGAGUUCCAUUUAUAAUUUUAUUACAUGGUGUUAGGAAUGUUCAACAUUAAUUUUUAACAAAAAUGCCACGAAAGGUGGUAUUCAUAGAUUUUGCAAAACCUAUUAAUUUCUAUGAGAAAUAUGUCAAAGUAAACAAGGAGGCAAGCCCCACCAUACUAUUGAGUUUCACAUGAUCUUUUGCACGUCAUAAUUAAAGGGAAGAGAUCCCUUCCAGAUCUCUCUCACCAAGUCUUAGGAAUUCGGAGAUCCGGACUCUUGAAAUUGAUCAAACGGUUACAAACAAGGGGUGCCUUUCUAAAAGUUAUAAUAAUUGUAACCGUUUGAUCAAAUUUCAAGGAUCCAAAUCUCCAGAUCCCUAGGACUUUGUGGGAGAAAUCCGAAGGGGAUCUCUUCCCAUAAUUAAAAUGUAUAAGCCAUUUGGACAAUUAAAGUCAGAAAAAAUUACUGAUGGAGCUCAGAAUGUAGCCAAAUGGAGUUUUGUUAUCUAUGUUGUCCAGGGAUGUCCUGCAUUAAUCUUAGGGCAACGAAAAUAAGUUUUAUGAGCAACAUUUUGUGAUGACGAAUGAAAUUAUUAAACUUUCACAUGGAUAUUUUAUGAGUCGAGCAAUUUCUUGUGUUUAGAAACAAUUUCACGGUUGCUUAUUGUUUUUGGGGGAUAGGCAACCCAAUCCACUUUUUCCUCCCCAAAUCACUCCAGCUCAUAUAAUUGGGCUCAAGGCGAGUCAGAUGGAGAAGUCAGGCAAUUAUCGCCUUGCCUAGCACCUUGCUUAUGUGACACAAGGCUCAGCCACAAUUUAAAUUAUUAGAAAAUUGUAAAAAUUAUAAAAAACUAAUUAAAAAUAUAAAAAGUAUAUAUAUAUAUAUAUAUAUAUAUAUAUAUAUUAUAAAAUUUUGUGUGUGUAUAAAUACCUAAUCAUGUUCUUCCACUUUACACUACAUUUAAAUAUUUUCAAAUACUUUCAACCUUUAUUACUAUCCAAAAUUAAAAAUAAAGUUAUAUUUUAUUAUUUUACAAAGUAAAAAAAAAUACUAAUAUUUUAAUAAAAUUCUUUGAGCUAUUCAGUUUACAGGUGAAGAUGCACUUGCAUAAUUACUGUUCACUUAAAGGAAUUGAGUUGCAUGUGAGGGCCUUACUACACUGAAAGUGCUCUAAUGGAUGCGGUAGCUCUACCAAAUAAAGGGUUGAGGAAAGAGAAAAAAAGAAAAAGAAAGAGAGAGAGAGAGAGAGAGAGAGAGAGAGAGAGAGAGUAAAGGUAAUGCUAGAUAAAUUAAAUUUGAAAACUAAAGAAUAUGGAAGUUGAUGAUUGGUUUAUUACUUAAACAUUAAUAAACGUAUUCAUUCUUAUGGUGACACAUCUUUUAGUUUGCAAAUUUUAUUUCUAAAUUUAGUCUCACUAACAUUACCAUAAAUAAUAAAAGGGUAAAUUACAUUUUACCCCCUCAUGUUUGGGGUCAAUUGCAACCCCAUACAACAUCUUUAAAACAUUUCAAUUUCAUACAUUUACUUAUCAUUUUAUUUUAAUUUCAUGCAUCCAUUAGAAAAUCCGUUAAGUAAAUCGUUAAGUGAUGACGUGGCAAAUAUGAAAUCCACAUUUGUGCUGACAUGGUUGCCAAAUUUGUACCACGUGGUAAAAAAAACAUUUUUUUAUGCAUUUAAAAUAUAAUAAUUUACCCUAUUAAAAAAAAUCCCCCCCCAAGACCCACCUUCUCCUUCUCCUCUACUCUCUUCACCUCCCAUCCCACCCAAAAAACCCACACCAUCCCACCCACCCCCACCUCUCCUGCAACCCCCACCCCUACCCCACCCCCACCCAAAACCCAAAAAAAACCCACCUAUUUCCAGCAACCUCAUCCAUCUAUUUCUCUUCCUCAUUCUCUCAUUCUAACCUCGAAUUGUUGUCAAUCGGACCCACGAGAUGCAACCACCCCUACCCCACCCAAAACCCAAAAAAACCCACUAUUUCCGAUGACCUCCUCUAUCUCCUUCUCUUCCUCAUUCUCUCAUUCUAAUCUCGAAUUGUCGUUGAUUGGACCCAUGAGAUGCAUCCACCAACGACAUCGGAAUGGGAUUUUGGUAUUUGACAAUCAGGGUUUUUGGUUGAUUACAAAUAAUCUGGGCAUGUCAUCACUUAACGGUUUACUUAACGGAUUUUCUAACGGAUGUAUGAAAUUGAAAUAAAAUGAGAAGCAAAUGUAUAAAAUUAAAAUGUUUUAAAGAUGUUGUAUGAGGUUGCAAUCGACCACAAACCUAAGGGGUAAAAUGUAAUUUAUCUAUAAUAAAAAUGGGAGAAAUGUGGGCCAGUAUGCCAUGUGGCAACCAAGAAACGGUCACAUCAAGAUGGUGCAGUUAAAGGAUUUGGAUCAUCUCCUAAGCAAGGGGUCUAAAUCCUCUUGACCCAAUAACACGGGCAGUUAGAUUUUAAUCGAACGACUACAAUUAUUAUAACUUUUAGAUGGGUCCCCUGUUUGUAGUCGUUGGAUCAAAAUCCAACGAUCCGUGUUAUUGGGUCAGGAGGAUUUGCACCCCCUACUUAGGAGAGGAUCCAAAUCCGCUGUUAAAUAGGCCAAAACACCCCACAACAUAAGCUACUUGACGGUCUUGGAUGGAAUUAACGACGAUAGGGUAAAGUGAAAGGAGGCAGAUUGUCUGCCCUCAUGUUUGGGUGCCCUUCCUAUCCCCUCCUAUUUGUGAGGUCAUGGUUAAGCUACGUCAACAUUUUAUAUUCUUAUUGCUUUUUGUCUUAUUAUCUCUAUAAAAAAAAUAAUAUAAAACGUUGACGUGGCUUAACCAUGACCGCACAAAAUAUGAGGGGAUGAGAAGGGUACCUAAAUAGAAGGGCAAACAAUCUGCCUCCAAAGCGAAAGAAACCUGUUUGGACUGAAAAUAUCCUAAAAUACGGGGCCUAAAAGCUUUCUUCCGAAGUCGACAAUUUAAGAUGGUUUUGGUCAUUUUUGGAGGGUAGCCUUAACUGGCUUAAGGAUAGUUAAGGGCAAACUUGUCUUUUUAUUUUAUUUAAUUUUUUUAAACAAAUGGUAUUAUUUACAUUAAGAGGGAGGGUUGGACUUAGUCUCAUCAUGAGUUAUCAACAAUGUGAUUCAAAUUUGUUUUUGGCGAGAAUCAAAUCUAAGACCUUUCACUUACAAGUAAAGAGGAACACCACUAUAUUGUAGUACUAAGUGACAAGGGGAAACUUGUCUUUGGGUAGUGAAAUUUCAUGUGGCAUAGAGGUAUCAUUGAUUGUAGACCACAAAUGAAGACGUUUUGGUGGGGAUGAUGAAUGCUAGGGUUUGUCACGAAAUACUUUAAAUAAAAGAGUAGGAGAAAUAAAAAGAGACACUCAAACAAUCAAUCCAACAACAAUUCUUAAAAACUAAUGGAGACAACUUCUUCAUUAAAACCUUUAUCAAAUUAAGCCAGAGAUUUCUUAGUGUGUCGAGAACACGGCUAGGUAGAUCAAGUGUCAUUCUCCAAUCUUUUGAAUGUGAAAGCCCUCAUUCAUUUCAUCAUAGUUUUUUUUUUGGGUCAAUUAUUCCUCUUUAUGAAUGUCCAUCUUGUAUUAGCUUUUGUUAUAUUAGUGCGACUCUCUCUAAAUCAACUAUUAUCAUUUCAAUACAAGAACCAGGGGCGGAUCUAUUAAGGAACCAGGGUGGUCCCGGGACCACCCGAAGCUUGGAAAAAUGGCUGUGAGGAUCUUCAAGGACCACCCUAGUCUGGGCAGUGAUGGAGAAGAACAGCAACCAUGGUGGCUGCUGCACGCUGUGCUUUUCAGAAAGAGGAAGAAGAAAGCCAAAUUUUUUUUCAAAAUGACUUGGCCAAAACGACGUCGUUUUAAGCCAAGUCAUUAAAAAAGUUUGAAACCUCACUCACGUGAGAACCCUCACACGAUCAACUCCUUCAGCAAUCAAAACCUUCACUUCAAUAAUACCUAAUUAUGCCGCUUGGCCCGCUCCUGUUCCUUAAGCAUCGAUCAACUCUCUGCUGCACCGCACUCUAGUUUAUGUUCAUCGUUGCAACUUGCACCGAUGAGCGGGGCAACGACAUCUCUAUUCUCCGUGUAAAGCUCUGGUCUGGACUCUGGAGGCUAGCUGCUAGUCCUCUUCUUCUUGGUCGAAGAGGUUUGUACUUUGUAAUUGUACUCUCUUUGACUCUGUGAAGUCUUUGUCCAUUAAAUAAUUUUGCCAUCCACAGAUCCACUAUCUGAUAGUGUUAUUGUGUCUGUGUUAGUAUAUAUGAAUUGAUAGGGAUUUUUACUACUUAUGUGAACGAGCUUAAAUCUCCUAUUUUACUUGCAAGAAUCACAAGGUUAUUGUAGUAUAAACGGAUUUCGCAAGGUCAUCACCACAGGGAUUAUUAAAUAAUUCGAACUAAUCAGAUUUCAUUUAAUUAUUGUAAAGUAGAAAUUGAAGUGAUUGAUUUUAUAACCUAAUUAAAAUAAAAAAACGAAUUUAAUGAAUUAAAAUAAACAAUCUGCAGGACUAGAGAAGAAAACAGUUCUGAGAAAAUCAAAUUAAGAAAGCACUAGGGUUCCACCAUCACCUAGCAAUCCUAUGAAUUUUUACCCAUUACUUAUGAUCUAUACAUGCUACUUUGAAGGUUAGAUUUUCCUAAUUCAUAUUCUACUUGGAACCUCCAACAUAGAACGUAUAUCUAACAUGCAACCCGUCCGGACGUUCGGAUCAAAUCUGAACAUGAAAGACUCAUUAUGCUUUAUGAAAAUCCUUUGAAAAACCAUGCAAUCCUUAAGACGUGAUAUUCAUCCUAAGUGAAAUUACAAUUAUUAAUCACAAGAAGCCAGCGUCAAUUUCAGGGAACCUUCCGACCAAAAUUGCAUCAAAUUACUUUUCUAAAAAUCCUAAUGGUGAUCAGGCAUUAAAAACAAUUAGAUAGUUUUUAUCCCGGUGAUUAACAAUUCAAAGUACGCAUGCAAUCAAUCAUAAGAAAUUAAAUAAAAAUCACAUAUUCAUGCUAAGGCUCAAGUCUUCGCCCUAGCAAUAGAAAUUAGUUCCGCAUAUUCAUAAUUGAAAUCAUAGAAAAUAUAUUCAAGAAAAUGAUUGAAAGCACCUUCAAGUAAAAAGUCUUCAAAACCCUAACAAUUCUCUCUGUCUCCCCAAAAUUGCAUAAAAGAAAGCGUGGUGAAAAAUUGUAGACGGCGAAGCAAUAUAUUUGCUAAGCCACCACCACAAACCCUAGCCAACUAAAAUUAAUAAAAACCCUAAAUAAAAAUAGUAAAAUUCGUCUAAAAUCUGAACAGCCACGUUUUGGCCCAUAAGCUGCUCCAAAACUGGCCCAAUAUAGCUGGAUUUAAUGUUUGGGAUAUUCUGAACACUUUUCCAGAAGGCCACAAACCCAUCCGAGGUCAUCUUGGGCUCCAAAAACGCAAUUUAAGCCUAAAAACGUCAUUUUCCAGCACUGCGCACUGCUUCUUUAUUUCAUCGCCAGAAAAUAACCGCUUGGUGGAAAAAUUCCAAAUUUUGAUACAAUCAAGCUAAGUGACUCACGAACGUCCUCCAACUGGAAUUACUCCAAAAUUCAUCCAUUUGGUCCUGUUUUGCUCCAGAGGAAGUCGAAAGUCCUAUAUUGAAAAUACAAUUCAAAGUAUCAAAAUUCUUCCAAUAUAUUAACCAAAAUAUACUAAGAUUAGAGUAAAAUAUAUAAUAUAAAAUAUACUCAUCAUGAAUCAUGAAUGUGUAGGUGGGUAGGGUUCGGGAGCAGAGGAAAUUUAUGCUUAUGAAAUGUUUGAUCUUUAGUUUGAAAGAGAGUAGAUUAACUAAAGAAGUGGUAGUGUGUGUAACGUGUUGGCUGUAUAUUGUGAAUUGGAGCGUAGAACUAGUUUCUGAUGUUAAAUGGGUGGCUGAAGAUCGGUGCUUUCUUUCGAUAUUCGUUUCGUAUUUUUGUGUAAUGUGUUGGCUAUACACAUUAAGGGAUUGAACCUGCUUUGUUACUCUCUGUAAUUUUGUCUUCCAAUUGUGUGGCAUUUGGCUGAGUGUAAUAAGUGCAUACUUUUCAAUGAAGGCCAAUGAACAGAGCAUCACUAAAAUGCCCUAAUUAGAACAAAACCUUUGGUUACACCGUGUACACUCCAAUUCAAAAUGAGAACUUAAAUUUAGUGGCUGUCUUUACUAAUUACGAUGGACUUUUUACACAGAAUUUCACAUACUAGUUGUUAUCAAUUAGUUGAACACUCCAAUUCAAAAUGAGAACUUAAAUUUAAGCAGGUUCUAUUCUACGAUAUUUGUCUCAUAUGUUUUUGUGUAAUGUAUUGUGAAUUGGAGUGUACAACUAGUUUGUGAUCCUAAAAGGGUGUGUAAAAAUCUGUGCUUUCUUUCGAUAUUGUUUCCGUGCUUGUUUUAUGAACUUGAGGUGGUAGUGGAAUUGCAGGGACUAUUUUGUAGAGUAUAGUGAGUUGAUCAAGCUGCAGCCUUUGCCUUUGGAAGGUGUAAACUAUAUAUUCUACAAUCUGUGCGUUUCUCACAAGUGCAAGGUAUGUUGGGACCACCCCAAGUUAAAAUCCUGAAUCCGCCACUGACAAGAACUAAAGCAAUUUCUCUCUUUUUUAUUUAUUUUUAUUUUAUUUUAUUUAAUAUUUUAUUUUACCUCUUUGAAUCAAAACUUGAGCUCCUAGUAUUAAAGCUUUAGUUCAACAUUUAUAUAUUGUGAUUUAAUCAUCUACAUAAGUAAAGUCCUUAAUAGAAAAGACAAGGCUAAAUAGCCAAAAUGGUUCUUGAGAUUGCAUAACUUAUCACUUUGGUCCAUAACAUUUCAAAUCGAGUCCCUGAGAUUGUCCACCAUCCAUCAUUUUGGUCAUUCUGUUAAAAACUCUGUUAAGUGUCCCGGAGCUCUUGGCCGGAAGUUUGGGCAAUUUUCAAAGCUUCGUAACUCAAUCGUUUCUUAACCAAAUUCGACCCAUACUAUAUCAAAAUGAAGAUAGGAAAGUGUAGAAUAAGAUUAUACCUAUUUGGAAGCCCAAUGGAUGCCAGAGAUGGCUGGAAAAUAGCCUCAAAGUUGACCGGUCCGAGGGAAAACUGGAAAACUCGUCGGAAACUGGGUAAACUUUAAACGUUCAUAACUUCUUUAAUACUCAACGAAAUCAAGUGAUUCAAAAACGAAAAUCAUACUUCUUGAUGAGAUGAAGAUAAUGGUACCUUUGUAGAUUGCUAAAUCGUCGUGGUUUGGCCAGAAAACAGCUCGAAAAUGGCUAACUUUGAGACCAAGAUAGCCACUUUCGAGCCGUUUUUUCGCCCAAACCACGGCGAUUUAGCCAUCGAAAAAGGGUAUCAUUAUCUUCAUCUCAUCAAGAAGUAUGAUUUUCGUUUUUGAAUCACUUGAUUUCGUUGAGAGUAUUAAAGAAGUUAUGAACGUUUAAAGUUUACCUAGUUUCCGGUGAGUUUUUCCAGUUUUGCUUCGGACCAAUCAAUUUUGAGACAUUUUCCGGCUAUCUUCGGCAGACAUUGGGCUUCUAAAUAGGUAUAAUCUUAUUCUACACUUUCCUAUCUUCAUUUUGAUAUAUUAUGGAUCGAAUUUGGUUAAGAAACGAUUGAGUUACAAAGCUUUGAAAAUUGUCCAAACUUCCAGCCAAGAGCUCCGGGACACUUAACGGAGUUUUUAACAAAAUGACCAAAAUGAUGGAUGGUGGACAAUUUCAGAGACCACUUUUAUCGAUUUGAAAUGUUAGAGACCAAAGUGAUGAGUUAUGCAAACUCAGAGACCAUUUUGGCUAUUUAGCCGAAAAGAUAAAGAAAUAAUCUAAAGUUGAGCCACUCUCAGUAAAUGUUACUAUCUUUUGGUUAGAGGUGAAACAAAGGCAGUUUCUAUCACAUACACGCUAUCUACUGCAACAACUAGUGGUGACACACAAGACCCAUGAGAAAUUUAGGGGCGAACAAAACGAUUUUUCAAUUUUAAAGAGCAAAAUGAGACUCAAAUUCUAUCUUAAGCGGCGAUAAAUAUCUAGCGGACCAAAAUGUGAGUUUGUGAGAAUUUGGGCUCCACUUCACUAUUUUCAUGGGGUCGACACCUUUGAGUUUAUCCAAAAUAGGUCUGAUAUAUUGUAUUCUUUUUUAAAUUUUAUAUUGCAUUUUACCAAAAUAAUAAUAAUUUAUAUUGCAUUGAACAACCUUGUGCAACCUAAAGUUACACUUUAUACUUUCUCAUGACUUUAUACAAUUCAUUAAUCUAAAUCCAACCAUUAAAAAAAUAAGCCUAUCGAUUCAACGGCUAAUAAAUUUUUUUUUAUUAAAUAUAAAUUCAUAUGAUAAAAUUUUCGGUGAAGAAAUAAUUUUCUUCUACUAGGAAAAAAAAAAAUCGGUGGCAACUGGCAAUCAUUGUAUGGAGUCUGGAGUGAGAAUUGUUGACCUAAAAAUAUAAAUCUAAUUCGUCUAUUUUUUUUAAUAAACGAUAUUAUUUACUAAAAGAAAAUGAGCUUAGUUGAAUAAUAAACUAUUAAUAAUAUUGUUCAAGUUCUCUUUUAGUGAAAAUUGAACAUAAAAAGAAGAAUAUCACUAGAUUAUAUUACGAAAGGCUUCUUAGAAAAAUUUAAAUUCAAGAAUUAAAAAAGGAGAAUUUAUAGUGGACCGUUCAUAAAUCUAAUUGAAUAUACAACCAAAAACAACGAAGCAGAAAUAAAAUUUCAUUCGCAAGUAGUCCUUUGCCACAUGUAUAAAAAGAAGUUGAGAUCUUGCAUGAUGGCAGAGGGGAUUCGAAUUUUAUCGUUAACUAAUUUAACAAAAUCAAUGGUUUGAUAAAAAUAAAAGGGAAAGAAAUUUCAUUGACUCAAUCCAAUAGUAACUAGACACGUGCCGUCCCCACAUGGAUCCACCCCCAGGUUAGAGACUGAUUGUAUGAAUUACAGAAAAAAGGUUUAGCAUUUAAUGCACAACUUUGGUGCAUGAAGUAUAUGCAGCACCACCCAUUGUGAAAUAUACAACUUAUGAAUCAUGAAUACUGACGACGCUAAAGAUCGAAUUGUACUAAAAAUCGCAAUGCACGAUGAUAGGUGUUGUGCUAGACCAACCCAACAAGAGUUCUUAACCUUCUUUUGGAAGAAACGAAAGCAAAAUAAUUUUCUGGAAAAGUUCCAAGGACACCAUCUUAACUGUUCAUGUUCAAUUACUUAAACUACAGUAUGGUAAUAUUCCUCUUCACUUGUAAGUGUGAGGUAUUAAGUUCGAAUUUCGUAGAUCACGAAUUCGAUAUCGAAUUAGGUUGUCCAUUGUGUGACUUCCGAACUCUCUUCUUAAUGUAAAAUAUAUCGUUGUACUAAAAGAUCUGACAGAAGAAUGAAAAUUCUAAUUGAAAAUUACUAUCGUUGAAACCGUAUUUUGUUUAAAAAAGUUAAGAGAAUAUGUUGAUUUAUUAAAGAGAAUAUAUAGAUUUGUUAAAAAAAAAAAAGUAAACAAGUAUUCGCGCAAAUGGUUGAUCAUGCCAUCUUACUUGCCAAUAUUCUUAUAUUCUCACAAAGGUAAGGUUACUAUCGUACGAACUCAUUUAUAAUGUUUGCCGAUAUUUUUGUCUAUCAGAAUAUGAAAUUUAAGAAACUGUUUCUACUACAACAACGGGUUGUAUUGUUCUUUGUUAAGAUGUUGUGACACAACAAAAUCAUGUGACCACCAAAAACUUAGUGAUUAAGUAUCAAAUCUUUCGUAAAAAUUAACAUAUGCUCACAUACAAAGUGUUUGUGAAAGGUUUUAAUUUUAUUUUAAAAAUAAAAUAAGAGAAGAGAGAAUGUGGGACUGGAAAGAGAGGUUAUUUUUAUUUUUUAAUUAGAAUUCAAAUAUGUAUAGCUUAAAAAAAAAUUUAAUGGUGUAAAAUUACAUUAUUAUCGGUUUUUUUUUAUUUAUCUUCAAAUUUAAUUAUAGUGUUAGAAUGAUAUUUCAUGAAAUUUUACAAUAAAAGGUCUAUUAAUAUAUAAUUUAAAUUUCCAAUUUCUCUCUACAAUUUUCAUUUUUCAAGUUUUUACUUCACACUCUAUACUUUUCUUCUCCACUCUCUUACUCUCUCCUUUUAUUUUCUGGAAAAGAUUCAAGGAUUUUCAGAACUAAUUGGAAAAAUAUUCCAUUUAAAUGGAAGUUUAACUGAUUACAACAUCGAUCUCAUGGAAAACUAUUGAAUUAAAACGAGUCUUGCUGUGGAUGAGUCGAUGACCCAUUAAUUCAGGGAAUUCAUAAUUUAUUUUUCAUUUAAAAAAAAUUCGGCAAAGGAGACUGAAUAAUUUAACAUCAAUUAGUAACCAUAAGAAGUAAUAGCAUCGCAACACAUAAUCCCCAAUCGAAGAGAUUCAAUCAUUCAAAAAGUGAAAUUCAUAUAUAAAAUCCAAGCAAACAAACACCCCUACAUCGUUUUUACAUCAAAAUAAGUACUACAAACGGAAAAUUAGACAUAAAUAAUCAGCCCUUCCUCCACGAAUUUCCUAAAUAAUAGAGAUGGAUCAGCGUCUGAUGUGCUUAACCCUGAACCAGCCCUUCUUCCACGAAUUUCCGACGAUCCUCACUCCUUUGUUCACCAAGUGUUUCAGCUCCCUCACCUUGUUCCCCAACCCUGCCAUUCUUUCUUUCUACUUUCUAGAGAGAGAAACCACCUCAAGUUUUAGAGAGAGAGAAAGAGAGCAGCAGAGAGAAAGAGAGUAGAGAGAAUGGUUUGGUUUCGCGGGGUUUUAUGGGGGAACCAUGGCGGUGCUGCUGCUGUUAGAAGAGGAGGUGCUGUUAUUGUGUGUUGGCACGUCUCUUUUGAGAAGGGAGCCGCGUCGGAUCCAACACGCGUCAUUACGUGGCGGAAAUCCAACGGAGAAUGGUUUAAUCGUGUCAAUGCGUGAUUAGCCGACGUUCAUUGCGGGAUAAGAAUAAGGAUGAACUGGCAUGUGACAUAUGCGGCUUUAAUAAAUUGUAAAAGAUUUGUUGAAUACCUAAAAGAAACAUGGUUUCAUUAUAUUUCAAUACUUCGUAUAAACACACUUACUUAAACAAAAUAUAAUAGAUUUAUUUAAAUCCGCCUGGACACCGCUAAACGUUAAGCUGUAGCUCGCCACCGAUUAGCGCCUAGUGUGUGUUUUAGAACCAUGGCCUCCUCUGAUGUGCUUAACCCUGAACCAGCCCUUCCUCCACGAAUUUCCGACGACCCUCACUCCUCUGUUCACAAUGUGUUUCAGCUCCCUCACCUUGUUCCCCAACCCUGCCAUUCUUUCUACUUGGAGAGAGAAACCACCUAAAAGUUUUAGAGUGAGAAAGAGAGCGGAGAGAAAGAGAGUAGAGAGAAAGGUUUGGUUUCGCGGGGUUUUAUGGGGGAACAAUGGCGGUGCUGCUGCGGUUAGAAGAGGAGGUGCUGUAAUUGUGUGUUGGUCACGUCUCUUUUGAAAAGGGGGCCGCCUCGGAUCCAACUCACGCAUCACACGUGGCGGAAAUCCAACGGAGAUGGUUUAAUCGUAAUCAAUGCGUGAUUAGCCGACGUUAAUUGCAGGGUAAGAAUAAGGAUGACUUUAUUUUAUUAUAUGGGACCACAACCGUUUGUAAUUUAUUUGGAGUUUUAGUCGACACGAAGUGGUGGGUCUUGAGUAAGGUAUAAAAUAAUGAUGAUAUCGAAAAUAUCGGUAGUUCAAAAACACGGAAAUUUGAAUGAAAAUAUCGGAAUAUUAUCGAUAUUGAUAAAAAUUGAAUUAAAACCACGGAAAUUGUAAGAAAAACUUGGAAAUUUUUAUUGAAACUUUGCAGGAUGUUUAUUUAGUCAAUUAUCUAUUAGUUUAUCACAAAAAAAUGGAAGGAAAUGCAUUGCAUGAUAGAUAUAACUGAUUUAAGUUGAUUAUAUAGCGAGCUGACAAACAUUGUGAGUGUAGAAAAUAUGUAAUAAUUAAUGAAAAAAGUUUAAACACACCAUAAUCAUUUAUAUAUAAUGAAUUAGUACAAUAUUUUAUACUUUAUACAUUGCAUGGUAAGAUACAUGAGUGACUUAGCAAGGUCUAAAAUAUCGAUGAUAUCGGAAAUAUCGGUAGUCUAAAAACACGGAAAUUUCGAUGGAAAUAUCGGGAUAUUAUGGAUAUUUUAGACCAUGACUCUUGAGUUGCUCAUAAGUUUCGAAUCGUUGCUACAGUACGGUGUCCAAUUCAAAAUGGAGAUGGAUUGUCUACCCUCCCAUCUCAUGCCCUUCUCAUUCCCUCAUAUUUUCUGUGGUCACGGUUAAGCCACGUUAACAUUUUAUAUUGAUUUUUUUUAUAGAAAUAAUAAGACAAAAAGUAAUGAGAAUAUAAAAUGUUGACGUGGCUUAAUCGUGACCACAAAAAUAGAAGAUGAUGAGAAGGGCAUCAAAUGGGGAGGGGAGACAAUUCAUCUCCAUUCAAAAUAACUUGAUGAAGUUGUAGGCCAUGAUCAAAAAAGAAAAAGAAAAAAUACAUUUAAUCUAAAUUAGUUUUUCUUAAUUAAAAAUAAUUAAACAUGGGCAUGUUCCAACUUUGAGAAAAUAAAAAUUGUUACAAGUUAAAUACUUAAUGCUACAUUGAGUAGAACCAAGUGAAGGUGGUGGGUGAAUCUGGUGGUGGGUUAUAGUAGUUAGAUUUCUUUCUUUUUAAUUCUUUACGUUAUGAAUUCAAACUUUUUUCUUUUCCCUUUAUGAUGCGAUUGAUACGCAAAAAAGAGUUUGUGGGAAUAAUUUUCCAUGACUUUUCCUAAGGCAUGAAAAAUACAUUUCUCCAUUUUCACAUUUGGUGAAGUUGGAAAAUGAAAUAGGAAAGAGAGAGAUAAUUUAAUCUUAUACCGUAAACCAAUCUUAUCAUGACAUAACUUUGACAAAAGGUCCAAUGUUAUACAAUAAAUAAAGUACAUUAGUAAAGAACCUUAUCUUUAGGUCAUGUUGGAAAGCAAGUAUACAUGUGCAAGCACUAAUCAUGAUACAAAUCUAGGGCCUUCCUGGAUGGACUGACCUCUGAUUGAUUUACUCUGGUUAUUUCCCACUAACUUCCUCCUUCAUUCGAAGAAGUCACCAUCAAUGAAACUAGUGAAAAGUUGUACACAGAAGAGAAGUGCAAAAUGGGUAAGGACGAAGACUUUGGAAGCAAAAGACGCACCAAUCACUGAUUGGCUCUCUUCCAGCCCUAUUGGAAUGGUUUAAACUUUAGGAAAACUAAUGAAAAUGGCUUGAAAACUUUGAGUUUUAAUGAUAAGGACAAAAUAAAGGGUAAAGUGAAUAGUACCAGGAUUGACUUUUUAGUGUAAAAAUGUGGUUUUUCGUUAAAAUGAACAGUACCGAGAGUUUUUCGUUAAAGUUCCCUUAAAUUUUUUGUAACAAAAGAGGUGUGCAAAAACCGUUGUGGCGUAACCCUAUUCUAUCAUGUGGAUGUUAGUGGGGAAAUGACUUUGUGACCUGUAUCCAUAUACAAAGGGAAGAGGUUGGCAAAUAGAGAAAAGAAGAAUAUGAUGAUUCCUUCAAAUCACAUAUUUCUGUUACAGAACAUAAUUAUGACUUGUUGAAAUCACCAUGGUCCAUGGCCCCAUUCAAACUUCAUCAUAACAGCUUCAAAUUAAAGAAUGCCAGUUGCCAAUGAUAUUCUAUCAUUCUGUUAUUCCAGGCUUAAAUAGUGUUUAAAGUAUCAAUAAAAGUAAAAAUAUCAGUAUGCAAAUUUAAAGAAAUAUCGAUAAUGGUUGACUUCGACGGAAAUUAUGGAAUUUUUCAACGGAAUAUGUAUAUCAACACUUUCAAAUUUAGUCAAAAUUAGAGAAAAUUUUCUCAAAAAAGUUCGAACGUUUGAAAUUUGUAAUGAGUUGUGGCAAAAUUUAUUUAGUAAAUAUGGUAAAUAUAGUCGAUAUUAAUUGAUUUUCCCAUAUCUCGCCGAUAUAGAGUGAAGUUUUCAUUUCACCUAUCCCUUUUCGCAUCGGUCCUUGAUUUUUUGAAUAUUUUGACAGAAAUAUCUACAAUUUGGUGGAAACUUUAAAGAAUGACUACAAAUGGCUAACGAAUAGUUUAUGCACUUUAUUUUACAAAUUGGGUUCAACCAAAGACGCUUUGGCCGAGUGGUUAAGGCGUGUGCCUGCUAAGUACAUGGGGUUUCCCCGCGAGAGUUCGAAUCUCUCAGGCGUCGUUUCUUUUUACCAUUUUCUGGAAUUUGGUGAGCAAUUGCUUAGUGGGGGAGGGUUGGGGUCGGUGGCUGGAAGGCCAGGGUGGUUGUUAUUUUUUAUUAUUUAUAUUUAAUUUUCAGUUUUUAUUUUCUAAUUAAUUUUAUGAUAAUUUAACAAACUAACAAUGUUAAAUUUUGAGUUAACUUGAACGACCAGUGUCAAAUGACUAGAAAAGAGACACAAAUGAGACACGGAAUUUAGAACAGCAAAUCAUCGAGCCUGACGUUUAGGCUUAGGGAAAGGAAGAGAGAGAACAAGGAGAUGAUGUGUAUUUUUUCUAUUGGUCGUGCUUUGAGCUUAAGUCUACAUCUCCUCAUUAUAUCAUAAAAUAGCGAUAUUUAUGCACCAACUUGACAAGGAAUAUUAGCAUUAGUCUAAACUAGAAUAGAAAUGUAGUUAUUUUGUUCACUUGUUGGAGCCAGUCGGUUUAUGUUAUUGAAACUGAAAGGUUCAAAUAUAGUGGGAGUUACUUAAAGUGGUUACAAAAUCGAGUGAGAGCUCAAGUUUCCGGUCCAAGAAUAAGAACAUCCAAGUACAUAUCCAAUGAUGAACAACUGUAAGAAAUUCUCACCAGAUGAGUGAGCUGCACUAAAAAUAGCCGAGCUUUUCAAAACUGCAGACUGCCAUUCAUAGUGGACCAAAUUUACAGUUUCUUCCAGCACGGGAGUGACAAUGCAGUAUACGAGAACACAAGCAGCUUGUGAGAUGUUGCUGCUUAAUUAACAAGAUUUCCUUCAGUACAGGGCUGUUUAUAUCCUGCAACGACACGGUGUAAAGUAAGUUACUUGAAAGAGAACAGCAUUUCCAGAACAUUGUUAAACUGCUGAUCUAUUCGUUCAGAGAAACAUGAAUGAGAUGUAAUAAGAAUUUGAGAAGAAUUUGACAACGGAAACGUAUUAGACUUGUCUGAUGCAGUUUUGAGAUCCUAUUUCUAUGAUAUCAUUCGCCGCUACCUAACAUCAGCCAACAUAAAAAUGCUGAAAUCCUGCCAUCUCGUUACCUGAAAUGUGUGUUUACUACUCACUAAGUAGUACUACAGUGUCAGCUGCAGAAUCAUGUCAGCAAACCAAGUCAUCAGGCCAUGCAACAAAAUAUAUGCAUCCAGGUUUCUGAUUGCCUUUGGUCCAUUUUGGUCAGUUUGUUUUGUUGAAUAUAUGUCAACAAUCUGUGAUAAAUUUAUAUAUGCUAAUAAAUAAACAGUGUAUGAACAAUGAACUAAUAUUAAACAGAAAUAUUGAAGAUCGAGGCUUGCGUACCGCAAUGUCCUUGAAACAGAAAUUUCGCCCCUACUCACUGUUUGUAGUUCUCUGGACGUCUGUUUCACCAGGAUUCAACGAUCAAGUUAGAAUUCCAGCAUCGGAAAACUUAACUACUAACGAAUUUCUUUGUGGUACUCUCAGUAAGAAUGCUAUGGAUUAUAGAAGGAGAUUUAUGCUUUCUGUGUUCUAAAUGUCAUGCAGACGGAUGUAUAUAUAGUGAGAUUAUGUAUGUUCGCAACAGGUAUGAGAAUGAGAUGUGACUGUUGGGAGACAUCUUUUUAGAUAGGGUGCUGUGCUCUCUGCGUUUUUCAUUGACUUCAAACUUCUUCUAAAAAGAUGAGUCUGUUAAAAAAAUUAAUUUAAUUAAAUUCGAAAAUACGAUAUUCUAAACUACUUUAAUUUACGGGUAGAGGAUUCAAACUUGGGUGAAGGGCGGACAGAGCAUACUGCUAUGGCCAACUUCUGAACGACAACGAACCUGGGAAGAAGCUUCAUGGGUGCUUUCAGUUCAUCACAAAAGCAUUUGAAACAAUGUUGGGAGCUGCAUAAUAAAGUGGUGGAUUUGAAAGUGGUGCAACAGAGAGAAUUAUGGGGAUAGGAAGGAAGCUAGGGGAUUGGAAACAUGUCCUCCAAAUCCAAAGGAUUUUUAAGGUUGUGCAAACUGCCACUGGAUAUGUACUUGCAGUAUUAUAUAUAAAAUGCACAGGUGCUUAACAAAAGACGCUUUGGCCGAGUGGUUAAGGCGUGUGCCUGCUAAGUACAUGGGGUUUCCCCGCGAGAGUUCGAAUCUCUCAGGCGUCGUUUCUUUUUAUUUUUCCCUCAAUUAUAUAACCUUUUUUUUUUCUUUCGUUUUUUGUUCUGUUUCUCUUCGAGUGUGUUAGUUAUCUUCGUGUAAGGGAGGCCGCCUAUUUUUCUCCAGUCGUUGUAGAUUCAUCUCCGAAAUUUUUCGAAUUCCCGGGAACCAUCUCCUUCCUUCCUAUAAGCUCACAGCUCUCUCACUUGUACUGACCUAGGUAUGUCUUAUCCUCUACCUUCACUUUCUCGUUUAUUCUCAAAUUACGAUUUUAUCAGAGGGUUUUAGUUUGGGGUUAGGAUUCGUAUUAGAUUUUAGUUAAGGGUUUGGUAAUUAGGAUUUGGCUGCUUUUCUACAUUUCAAUGCACUUCCGUUUUAUUUUAUUUUGUUUUUUAAUUUUUAGUUUUCGUUGUAUGUUUAUGAAUAGUCCAUGAUUAUUUAUUAUCCAAGAUAUCGACAAAUUUGUUGGUGAUGUUAAAAUUUAUCUUCGGGGAGGUCUGUAUCCAAGAUCCUCUCAGACACAGUUGGGGCAGGUCGUAUUGUUUUAGUAGUUUCCAUAAGCUUGGGAAAUUUCAAAGAAACAACAAAACUGCAGAAAUUUCUUUAGAGUUUUUGGCUUGGAAAAAGAAAAAACUUAGGGCCCGUUUGAUUACUGUUUCGAUUUUUUUUUGUUUUUUCACUUUUGGGUUAGAAAUGAAGGGAAAUGCGAACAAGAAAAGAUGACCAAGGAGAUGGAGGGUUUAGGGUAAUAGGUAACAAAUAGUGAUAAUGUGAUAGGCGAAUAUUAUGCCACCAUUGUGCAAAUUUUUACGUGUUUCUACUGACAUUGCAGAGGAACUUGCAACAAUAAUGAGUUGGAUUUUUGGUGUGUUUGGGGACUAGGAAGGCAGUUUGGACACAUCAAAGUAAUUGGACAAAGGUGGACUGUGGGUGCUCGUGCUCAAAUAUAUAGAACAAUAAGCAGGAAGCAAAAGUAAAAAAGAAAAGAUAUGUCGGAGACUCUCUGAACAAAGAUGAUUCUUACAACGCAAAAGAGAUGUACAGUAGAAUUAUAUGUCCAGUCUACAAACGUUUCAUACACAUUACACCACAAUGGUCCAAGUCCAUACAUACAAACUACAAAAACUCCCUUAAUUUGGAAGGGGCAUUGGCAAGCCAGUUUGCUUCUAUCUUGCAAGCUUGCAAUGAUGAGUCUCUUAUCCAACAAGGUAGACAAGUUCAUGCACAUGUUAUUUGCAGCGGACUUGUCAAAAACAGCCUUGUCUGGACAAGGAUCCUGGGUAUGUAUUUUCUCUGCGGGAGCAUUAUGGGCGCCAAGAACAUGUUUUAUCAGCUUGAUUUGAAAUAUACUUUGCCUUGGAACUCGAUGAUUAGAGGGUUUACUAUGAUGGGUUACUUUGAUUAUGCCUUGCUGUUUUACUUUAAGAUGCUGAGUUCUGGAGUUUCACCUGACAAGUACACUUUUUUGAGUGUAAUUAAAGCUUGUGGUGGUGUGAAUAAUGUAAGAUUGGGCAAAGCAGUAUAUGAUACUAUCCAGUUUAUGGGUUUUGGAGUUGAUAUAUUUGUGGGGAGCUCCUUGAUUCGACUGUAUGUGGACAACGGUUGUAUUCAGGAUGCAUGGAGCUUGUUUGUUAAAAUGCCCAUCAAAGAUUGUGUUUUAUGGAAUGUUAUGCUUCAUGGUUAUGUUAAAAAUGGACAAUUAAAUAAUUCUGUUAGAAUGUUCUUGGAAAUGAGAAGUAGUGAAGUUAAGCCAAAUGCAGUGACGUUUGCUUGCAUUUUGUCUCUUUGUGCUUCAGAAGCUAUGAUUGGUUUUGGUACUCAACUUCAUGGGCUUGUUGUUGCAUGUGGGUUGGAGUCGGAUUCUCCAGUGGCUAAUACAUUGUUAGCAAUGUAUUCUAAAUGCCAAUGCUUCUCUGAUGCCCGCAAGUUGUUUGAUAUGAUGCCUCGAACUGAUCUAGUGACAUGGAAUGGAAUGAUAUCUGGUUAUAUACAAAGUGGGUUUAUGCUUGAGGCUUCACGUUUGUUUCAGGACAUGAUAUCUACAAGUGUCAAACCUGAUUCGAUCACAUUUGCAAGUUUUUUACCUUCGGUUGCUGAACUAGGUAGCCUCAAGCAAGGUAAGGAAAUUCACGGUUACAUUGUAAGGCACUGCGUGCCUUUGGAUGUGUUUUUGCAAUGUGCACUUAUUGAUGUAUACUUCAAGUGCAGGAAUGUGGACAUGGCACGUAAAAUUUUCAGCAAAAGCACCAGAACGGAUGUUGUCAUCUGCACAGCUAUGAUUUCAGGUUUUGUUCUCAAUGGGAUGAAUUGUGAUGCAUUGGAAAUUUUUAGAAGGUUACUUAAAGAGAAAAUGAGACCGAAUUCUCUAACACUGGCAAGUGUUCUACCAGCUUGUGCUGGUCUGGCUGCUCUGAAAUUUGGAAAGGAAUUGCAUGGAAACAUCCUUAAGCAUGGGCUUGAUGCAAGGUGUUAUGUGGGUAGUGCCCUUACAGACAUGUAUGCAAAAUCUGGAAGACUCGAUCUUGCUCAUCGAGUUUUUCAAAGACUGUCUGAAAGGGAUGCUGUUUGUUGGAACUCGAUGAUAACAAGCUAUUCCCAGAAUGGCAAACCGGAAGAGGCGAUAGAUCUAUUUCGUCAAAUGGGGACGGAAGGUGCCAAGUAUGACUGUGUUAGCAUUUCAGCUGCGCUUUCUGCUUGUGCAAACUUACCAGCACUUCAUUAUGGGAAAGAGAUCCAUAGUUUCAUGAUUAGAAGUGCAUUUAGUUCCGAUCUAUUUGCUGAGAGUGCACUGAUAGACAUGUAUGCCAAAUGUGGAAACUUAGAUCUUGCUCGCCGUGUGUUUGACAUGAUGGAAGAGAAGAAUGAAGUUUCCUGGAACAGCAUCAUUUCUGCUUAUGGGAAUCAUGGUCGCCUUAAGGAAUCUCUUGUUCUGUUUCAUGAAAUGUUGAGUAAAGGGAUCUUGCCCGAUCAUGUCACCUUUCUUGGUAUAUUAUCUGCUUGUGGCCAUGCAGGCGCAGUUGAUGAUGGAAUUCUCUACUUCCGUUGCAUGAUUGAGGAAUAUAGGAUCCCAGCUAGGUUGGAGCAUUAUGCUUGCAUGGUAGAUCUAUUAGGGCGUGCUGGACAUUUACGUGAAGCAUUUGAAACAAUAAAGAGCAUGCCAUUCUCCCCAGAUUCGGGUGUCUGGGGAACAAUGCUUGGAGCCUGUCGGCUCCAUGGCAAUGUUGAGCUUGCAGAAGAGGUAUCAAGAUACCUUUUUGAAUUGGCACCGCAAAAUUCUGGCUAUUAUAUACUCCUCUCAAAUAUACUUGCUGAUGCUGGAAAAUGGGGGAGUGUGCUGAAGGUUCGAACGCUAAUGAAAAACAGAGAAGUUCAAAAGGUUCCUGGGUACAGUUGGAUUGAGGUAAACAACAACACUCAUAUGUUUGUUGCAGCAGAUGGGAGUCACCCAGAGUCUGCUCAGAUAUAUUCAUUGCUCAACAGUCUUCUUCUAGAACUAAGAAAAGAGGGUUAUAAUCCUAGACCUUACCUUCCAACACAUCCACAGACAUUGGGGAUUUAAUCUAUAGACAGAAAGAAAAUAGAAGUUCACUACACUCAUUCGGUAGUUGGAUUGGUAACAUUUAAACUUACCUCCCCAGAGGAGAAGGAAAAAGGGGUUCAACUCUCAAAUUAGAAAUCUGAAAAACUGCCUAAGGGGUCCCCUCUUGAUUGUGUUUCCGACUUUGAAGAUAAUUAAACCGAUGUGGUUUUGGAACCUUUUGCCACUUAUUUGGAGGGUGUUUUUAGCUAUGAAGGUAUGAGGGUGGGUUUUCAUCUGGACUGGUUUCCAAUCCUAAGCAUUUUUCUUAUAUUGAGGUCAAUUUGCUCAUAUAACAUAUACCCAUUUUUCUUCGUUGAUACAAAUGUUCCAGCUUGGCCAGAUGUUUUAUGUUUGUCCCAUCAUACAAAGGUUGAUAAACCAAAAAGACAACGGUGGAAAUACUCCUUUGCAUUUGGCAACAAUGUACCAUCAUAGAGAGGUUGGCAUAUAAGGACCAACAUAAAGCUCUUAAAGUGUAGGGUCAUGACAGCUCGUGACGUUGCUGAAAGCAGUUUGGGAAUUGUUGCAUCACACCAGGGGGUAAGUUUCUGUGCUAUCUAUUGUUAUAAAAUUACGGAUGAUUAUGCCUUACUACAAUUUACAACCAAAGGAAGGAUCAUAGUUCUAGUCCAUUGGGUUCCAUUCUUUUUCAGUUACCUAACGAGGAAAUCCAUAGGAACAGGGUAAAAUACGUUAUUAGUGGUGGCCACACUAGUUGCCACGGUGACAUUUGCAGCCAGUUUCACAAUGCCAGGCGGUUACAGCAAUUCGGUCCUCAUGAAGGCGUCACAACCUUGUUGCAAUCAGUCUCGUGUGGUGUACACGGCUCUUCCAUCACGGCACAGGGACUAACUCGAUCAUUUUCGAAAUGGGUUUGUUCAGUCCUAAUAGCUGUUGCAGUACUGGGCAAUGCUUAUGCACUUGACCAAAGAUUUGGAAGAGGUUCAAACUGCCUUAUUUUCUAUCACAUAUUCAGUCUAUCCAAAGCUUUGGUUAACCUUUUUUUGGGAUAGUUUCAUUGGGGCCUGGCGGUUCUAUGUUUGGCUGGUAUUCUUAUCUUUUUCCAAUGUUAUUUCGAUUUCGUUAUCAAUGAUCUCUUCAUAAUAUCCAAGUGAGGAGUGAACUUGUUUAGUAAACAGAAAAAGUCAUAAAAAUGGUUAAGUUAAGAAACACAUGUCGAAAAUAUAUCAAGGAGACAUGAAAAAGACAUAUAUAACUUGUUUGGAUGUGUUUUUAAAAUGAUUGAAAACGCUUUUGGUGAAAAUGUUUUUGAAAUCAAUUCUUAGUAAAAAUGCAAGUAAAUUAUGGAAAAACGUUUUCAGUCAUUUUAAAAGGACAUUAGCCUAUAGUUGGGAAUAAUGAAUCCAUGGUAAGUGAGGAGUGUAACCUGUUUAAAACCAAUUCUUAAUAAAAAUGCAAGCAAAUUAUGGAAAAACGUUUUCAGUCAUUUUAAAAGCACAUUAGCCUAUAGUUGGGAACAAUGAAUCCGUGGCAAGUGAGGAGUGUAACCUGUUAGAUGUUUAAACAGAAAUAGUCAUUAUCAAAAAAUGAUGCUGCCCAUGUCAUUUUAAAAGGACGUUAUCCUAUGGUUGGGAACAAUGAAUCCGUAACAAGUGAGGAGUGUAACUUGUUUGACGUUUAAACAGAAAAUGUCAUUAUUAAAAAGAUGAUGCUGCCCAGGAUCGAACUGGGGACCUUCAGUGUGUAAAACUGACGUGAUAACCACUACACCACAGCACCUCUUUGAUGAAAGAUGUUAAUAUUAUCUUACAUAACUCAAUUAAUUUGAAAGCAAAACCCACACAUUUCGUGGAAACCCAGCGUGUAUCCAACCGUAACACGGUAACACGGUAACACCCAAUCCGUCCAACACGAAAAACGAAAAAUCCGGAAACCUUGCGAUCAUUAAAACUGAUAGAAACGAAGGUGGACGUCGAAUUUCCGAUCAUCCUCCUCUUUGGCGUAGCUUCCGAUCUUCAAUUUCGUUGGGUUCCCUCCAAAUUUUUGUAAUUUUGGUGAAUUGGGUGGUAGGUCAGAGGGCGGAGACAGACGGACAGGAUGGGAGGGGUGGCGAGGAGCUGCGUGCAAUCAUUGCUCAAGUUGGUGAAUUGUAUGAUUGGGAUGGUAGGGCUCGCCAUGAUUAUGUACUCGUUGUGGUUGUUUAGCGCGUGGCAGAGAAACAUGCCUCACUUCCCCCCACCACUCGACCACUCUCACCACCAUCCUACACCUUGGUUUGUAAAUCUAUCUAAUCUUGGUUUUUCUUUCCUUUCUCUGGAUUUUCUCAUAUUAGGGUCUGUUUGUUUCCUGAGAAAAUGUGGGAAAUGCAAGGGAAUCCAGACUUUAAGCUUUCCAUGCUGUUGAAUUGUGUAUUGGUUUCCUUUUCUCAUUUUCUUAGACUUGGUGUUUGUUUGAAAAGUUAAUUGCUUGUUUAGGAGGUUGCCAUCAUUUGCUAUGGUGGGUCAUUUCCCCUUUUUGACUGAAACCUGCCUCUUUGUUUCUUUUGCAUAAAAUUCUUAUGAGCCUUUUACUUUGCUUUUCGACUUAUAGAGAGCAAAAAGGAGAGGGAAAAAAUGGAAAGAUUAAAGGAAAUCACUGUGUCUGUCAAUUUUUUCUUUGUCACGAUUAGAUAUUGAAAAUCAUUCUGAUUUGGACGAAUUUUUGUAAGGAUGGUAUUUGAAUGUAGAUCUAGAAAAUGAACGGUCAUGGAAAAAUGUUGUGGAGAGGGCUCAAAUAGUGCCAUAGUAAGUUACUUACUAGUUAGCGCUUGGGCACUUCUGAUGGUGGGAGGCUUAUGCAUUGAAGAGGACUAGGAGAUAACUGACAUUCAAAUCUGAAGUAUAACAAAGAUGAUCAGAAUCCACACUAAUCAGACUAAAACCAAACAUUGUUCUGCAAAACUCCCUUCUGCUGAAAACUGUCAUCGCGCUCGCCUCAAGUGGAGUCGUCCCUUCUUGACACCCAAAAAACCGUAAACUUUGCUUCAUCACAUUUGCUGUGGACCAAGCCAACUCAAAUUUUCUCUCCUCGACAAUCUCCACUCCAACUCCGAUGUAUUUGGCCAAUGAAGAAACAAAUUGUCAGUGUUUUCCACCUCCCCCUAGCACUACAGGGCAAUAGUAAGAAACGCUGGCUUUAGGUAUUCUCCUUUGAACCAUGACAAGUGUUUACCUCAGCGUGAAGUGCUUUUUUAAUCAUUUGUAGCAGUUGAUUUUGGUGCGAAUUGGAUUUUAUGUCUUGGUUUUUGACUUUUUGGAUGAAGUAAAUUUGGUCUUGUCCUCAGCAUUGUAUAUUUAUUUUUAUGUAAGUAUACAAUCUUUUUCUCAGUGCUGAUUUAAAACUUCUUUUAUGUUAUUUUUUGGCAUGAAUUGCAGGUUCAUAUACACUUUUCUUGGCCUUGGGAUCACUCUGCUUGUGAUCACAUGCUCAGGUCAUAUCGCCGCUGACACUGCAAAUGGUUGUUGCCUUUAUUUGGUAUCCUUUUGUUUCAUAUAUCUUUAUUAGCUAUUCAAUUAUUUGGAGUCAAUAACGUCACAUUCCCCACCAAAUUGCCUUCUUCUUACUCAACCUUAAAUUAAGCAACUCUAACAGCCCUUAACGGAUCUGUUUCUGAGUGCUUCAACUGGAAGUGAUUUUUCCACUCUGCAAUUUUUCUGAUAGCAUUGUUAGAUAUAUAUAGUUUUUGUAGUUUUUAUUUUUCAAAUUUUUUGUGCUUCUUGUAAAUACACUUGGAAGUGCCCCUAGGAAGCAUCAACUAGGUGCUUCUAAGAAAGCACUACAAUGGGCUAAAAUGGGCUUAUCUGACUCAAAAGAACACAAGUUAUAAGAUCAAAGAAUUUAUUUCUCUUUAUCCUUUUGCUGCUUGAUACUCUUCCGUUUUUGUUCUAUGAUUAUAGUUGUGUAUUUCUGUGUUUUCUUUCUCUUUCAAAUUAACUUUUAAUUAUAUUUAUUAGGCUUGCAACAGGAUCUUUUCUUUCUUCCCUUACAAUUUGUUCACGUCUCAUUAUAAAUGUCAUUAUUAGAUUCUUAAUAUUCUGUUAAUGUGUUCAUGUGCUCUAAAUGGGGAGGCUUAUGCGCUGCAUCGUUUUUUGACAAUACUUACAUGCUUGAUAAUUCUUUUCAAUCUACAAUUUUGAACACCUGAAAUAGCUGCUACAGUUGUACUUGUAUGAAGAGAGGUAAAGGUCGUACCCAGUGCACAAGGCUCCCGCUUUACGCAGGGUCUGGGAGAGGUGAAUGUCGGCUAACCUUACCCCCAUUUAUGGAGAGGCUGCUCCCAAGUCUCGAACCCGAGACCUACCGCUCAUGGGCGAAGGCACUUGCCAUCGCACCAAGUGCGACCUCUUACUUGUAUGAAGAGAGGUAGUAGGGUAAAAUUAAUCUACGUUAGAUAAAUAUUGCUUUAAAGCUAGAUAGAUAUUACUUUAAUUUCAAAAGGCAUAUUGUCCAGUAGUUUCAUCAUAGUGGGUAGAUUAUAUAGUAAGUGCUAUUUAUCAUCAUAGCAUAUGGACUUGUCUUUCUAUGGAAGUUAAUGGAUUUUAAACUAGAUUGUCAGCUCCAUAUUUGCCAUAUCAUUUCAGAUCAUUUAGAUUCAUUUUGUUUUAGAUAUUGAUUAUUCAUAAAACAUUUGUAGAAAUGAGUACAGUUCAAUGGGGCUUCACUUUCUUUUAUUUUUUUACCUCUGUUAUCUUUAAAUAUAUAUGACAAAAAUGUCUGUGUUUUACCUUAAUUGCAUACAGUACAUGGUGUUUGUCUUCUUACUCUUCAUGCUUGAAGCUGGAGUGACUGCUGACAUAUUUUUAAACCGUGACUGGGAAGAGGUAUAUAUCAAGUACAGUGUAGUUAUUUUUGGUUAAUGGGUUAAUGACUUAGAGAGAAGCAUAUUAGCGAUUUGGUUAUAAUGCUGAUAGUUUUUUUACUUGUGGCCAGGACUUUCCAGAUGAUCCAACUGGGAGAUUUGAUCAAUUCAAAGAAUUUGUAAGGUCGAACUUUGAUAUCUGCAAAUGGAUUGGCUUGUCAAUAGUUUGUGUACAGGUCUGUCUCUCUCACUCUCUUUCUGUCUUUGUGUACUGCAUGUUUGUGCUUACUUUUUUGUAACUUUUUUUAACAUCUUGUGAGGAAAUAAAAGUUAAAAUGUUCAAUGAGUCUCACUUAAUUUGUCUUACUAGAACUAGUAGAAGCUGCAGAAUCAGGCGAGUGUUUUAAAUAUAUUUCAGGGUAAAUGACCCCAAUUUCCCUUUAACUUCAACCCAUGUCUCCAGUGGCGGAGAAAACAUGGGCACAGGGGGCACCGCUCCCUCUCAUAUUUUCUUUUUGGGGACUGUUGAUAUUAAUCUAGUUAACUAGUUCCAAAAUUGAUUUUGAGUCGCAAGUGCCUCUAUAUUCUUCUUUGCUUUCUCACUCGUUCAUGUCAAAAACCUGAUUUUGUUGCAUAUAUUUUGUUAAUAUGAAUGACUAUUAGAUUAUUAAUACAACAAAGUACAGAAGAAUUUAGAGAAGAGAAUGAUAAAAUUAGGAAUGUUGUAACAACUUGCGCACUGCUAAGGGCUAUCUGGUUUGCAGAUCAUGGCCAUUCCUUAUAUUUUCUCUGUCCUCUUUCUGUUGAACGUUCGUUGUCUUCUUUUGCAGGGGCUGUCUUUGUUAUUGGCAAUGAUACUCAAAGCUCUUGGGCCACAUCCGUAUUAUGAUAGUGAUGAUGAGUAUAUUCCUGAGAGGGUUCCACUCCUAAAGAAUGCUGUUCUUCCACCUCCUUAUGUCGUUGGUGACCCUGUAUAUGGUUCCAAUGUAUAUGGUUCCAAAAGUGAUUCAUGGAACAUAAGGAUCAAUGACAAGGUAGGAAUGUUCGAUUUUUUGAAUGGGCCAUGUUAUAUAUCUGCGGCAUUAUUUCUUUACUUUUUAAAUCAAAGAUCUGUAUUUCGUUUCUCAUAAUUUAUAAAACUCUGUUAUUACGUUUUCUUCUGUCUUGUUCUAAUUCUUGUGUCUUAAUCUUUGUUACUUCUUUUCACUGGAGUAUUUAUAAAAAAGAAAAUGAUCCUCUAUCUGAUUCUUUCAUGAGUCAUUCAGAUUCUGUAGGACAGCUGAGAGUGUCAUAAGUAGUACCACUUUUAUGGAACACACAUAGACGGGUAUACAUAUAUAUAUAUAUAUAUAUAUAUAUAUAUAUAUUAUAAAUAUUAUAUAUUGAUUAAUAUACCCUUUUCAAAGUGUGAAAAUAUCCCGUUGAUUAAGUGAAGUCAUGUCUUAAUAUCUGGUCCUGGGACAGUCGUGUAACAUAACAUGCUCAAUGUCUCAGAACUUGUUUCGCGAUUAUGUACUACAUGUAAAAUUUCUGGAUAAUGUAUAUUUACAGUAGCAGGCCCUUUCCUGAAGGGAUUCCCAUUUGCAAGGAUCACAUUGGGCUCGCAUAUUUCCGCCGUGAAAUGUGGUCCAAUAAACUAAACCAUCCUAUUUUAAGGUCCUCAUUGAAUGAUGAUCCUUAAAAGUGACCUGCAACACAGAAAGGGGCAGGGAGGUUGUGAACCGUAAUAGGUUUUGGCUGCUAAGUUGGGUUGUCACCGCAUUUGUAUGAAUUUUUGUUAUUGAUUCUUUCUGUUUUUUCCCUUUCUAAAUCAGACAAACAGGUAAAUUGAUUGUUCAGCUGGGCUUCUACUUGUGGAUGGAUGGUAGUGCGGAGACACAAUAAGAGUGGAGGAACUGGAUCGGAAAAAUGAGUCAUCUGCUGUCGAUUGACCAAUUGAGCAUUGAAGGUUUCAUAAACUCGAGCAGAUGAAGAGGGUGGAAUUAGUCACGUACAUACUUUAAACUCUCACUGUAUACCUGAAUGCUGAACCUGAUGAAAUUGACAGUUCAUCGUUGCGUUUCUGUAUAGAUUGUUAAACGAUGCAUAAUAUUUAUCGAUUAAUUUGGAAUCUCCGUUCAAUCAUCUUGUCAACUUUUACAUGUUCCAUGUGCGGACAUCCCCAAUUUCAGGAUUAGAAGUUGGUUCGUUUCAGUUUCUUACAGGAACAUGGGGGGUUUUGGCAGUUGGAUUUGCAACUUCUUAUGCAUGAUUUCUCUGGUCAUUACAGGAACAUGACGGAAUGGUGGACGGAAUCUAAUGGCAAUUGAUUAAUUGGCUGAUUUUAAAUAGUUCAAGGGGUCAAUUUCAACUGGAAUAAUAGUAUAGAGUGUCAAACCGCAGUUUACCCCAUUUUUUUUCUUUCUAUUUUCUAAAGUUUGGUUUACUUUUCGUCCUCCAUACAAUACAAAGGUAUGAUCUCUUCUUUUUUAUUUAUGGGGUUUGACAAAUUCAAACUCGAACCUCUUUCUUACGUUAGAAAGGGAAAUAUCGUUUUAAUGAAGGAACAAACUGUCAAAUGAUCUGAAGAUAUAAAUUGACACGAUUCAAAAUUUUUAUGAUGUAAUGUGGAAAAAAGGAUAAUUUUGUUGUUCAUUUUGUAAUUGACUCAAACUUGAAGAGUGUAAAAUGUAGUUAGCGAAAACUAGAAUGUAUUGUGUCAUGAAUAAGAAGGUACCUACAUUAUUAUUAUUAUUAUUAUUAUUAUUAUUAUUAUUAUUGGAAGUGAUUUUCACAUUUUUUUUAUAGCCAUCAAAUUAAAUAAAUCAAAGGAAAUAGCCAAGAUUAAACAAUGGCUUGUGAAAAUCAUUGUCCGACACUAGGAACAUGUCUUUCACAAAUGAACAACCCAUGCCACGAAUAAAUAAAUAAUAUGGUAUAUUUGACUUUAAAAAUAAUGAAAAAAAAUCUCAUGUAUUUUUGGUCAAUCAAAAGAUUGAUUUACUUGCCUAUCAUUCCUUGCCGCAUUAACAUACAUAUAAUUUCCUCUAAUAAUUAUGGGUAAUGUUAGGAAGACCAAAAUUUUAAACUAAAUUUUAUAAAUCGAAUGAUGUGAUUGUUGAUGAUUGAAUUAUUAUUAAAAUGUUAAUAACGUUUCCUAUUGGUGACAUAUAUUGGUUUGUAAAUUUGAUUUAAAAUUUUGAUUUCCUAGCAUUAUUCAAUAAUUAUACACAGCCCAUAUAUCUACGUAUUCGAUCUGACUGGGUUGCAUAAUUGUGUUCAUAAUUUAUUUGCUCAAAAGUAUAAUUCUAACAUUCUUCCUGUUUUGAUCCAUGAUCCAUCCACUGAAGACACGUAAUUUUCAACUUCCUCAAUCAUACCAUGCAUGUUACCCUCCUAAUGUACCCAAUGACCGGGUUGAAUAAUUGUUGCUGUUGAAAUCUUUCUGUUUGCUUUUAUAAAAAGGCAUGUGCCAAGAAAUUCAACUUCUCUUAAACCCUAGCUAGCACAAGAUGGAAAGUCUUGGUUUAUAUGGUUGCACACUCUGUAAAUGUGCUCGCUCAAAGUACAGCCUUAUCUAAGACUCUCCAUUCAAGGAACCCAUACAACACUUAAAAACACUUAUAACUUAAAGUCACAAACCAAAACACGCAAAAAAGGGAAGGCAUAAUAAGAGGAAAACAAUUGCAAUGAGUUUAUAAUUCCGUGGGUUAUAAUUUACCUAAACGUGUAUUUGAGAUUCAGUAUGUUUGACUUCUUCUUGUAGGGGCUUGUAUAUCAGUUCAUUAAUAAUAUUCACUCCUGCAUAUGAGAUUGCUCGUAUCAAAGGAGGGAGGGGAUAUUUUUUUCAUUCAGGAAAGCAUGAUUCAGCUUCUGUUUCUAAGAAGAUCCCCAUGUUCUUGAAUAUAAUAAGUGCGUAGCUUGGUUCUUCAUUGUCACAGAGAUGAGCAUUAAUUAAGAUAAAAAUUGAGACAGUUUUUUUGUGGUAUUUGCUGAAUGGAUUCGCAAAGUAUCUUCUUCUACAGUUGCGCUACUUUAACUACCGGAAAUUCAUACUUUAUUAGCAUAAUCAAUACACAAUCUUAUAUAUAAUCAGUUCUAAUUAAGCUUUAUCUAGGAAAUACAUCGUGCUUGCUUUAUUGAAUAAUAUAUUUCUUUUAAGAGCACAAACUAACUCUUCAUUUGUUCGAUGCAUUGUACUCAUGCUUUAUAUCUUAUUGGAGAUGUGAUUCUGUAAUGGAGUUAGUCUGAAUUAACUACUCGGUUAGCGAUAAUCAAGUACGUUUAAUUAACUAAAGAAUGUUAUCUACUGGGUCGGGGCAUCACCCCACACAUACUUCAAUGUUAUUUUAUGAUGCUUGAUCGGAUCAUCGUGCAACAUGACUUUUGAAGAAGCACAAGGAAGGGCUUCGAAUUGUUACCUCAAACUUUAAGCUAGCUUCAUAUUAACUAUGGUUCAAAAUUGGAGGUUACAGUGCUAAUAUAUAAUUUAUGCUCGAUUCUUGUUGCCCACCCACCUUAUAUUCGCACUCCGCGAAUAGAAUUCUAAAAGAAAGAUUGAAGGCAGAAACAUGAAAUUCAGCAGAUAGGACAAUUAGUUGGUGAAAUUAACCAAAUAACAUCUUCUCUUAGAAUUUUUUUUUUUUUCAAAAACUUACACACUUUGGCCCCUCGCAUUCAAAACAUUAACGCUCAUUUGUAUAUGUGCUUCAUACACAACAAUCAUAUGCAAAAAGGUGCCUUCAAAGAGAUUGAAGACUGUUUGAUAACUAUUUCGUUUUUACAUUUUGUGUUGAGAUAUAUAUGACAAAAGUAUAUGGGAGAAAGGAGAGAUGAAGGAGGGUGAUGGGAGAGAGGAAAAGAAAUAAAGAAUGAACGAAAAAAGAAUCUCGAAAGUGAAAACAGUUCAACAAAGAUUUUUGUUUUUUAAUUUUAGUUUUCAUUAUGUGUGCCUUUCCCUUCAUUUCUUAUACAUCUUUGCUCAUCAUCCUUCAUCCACUCUUCAUUAUGCAUGAAAUAAAAACAUGAUGCUUAAGUGGUUGUGUGAAGACCAAUUGAUUGUUUUGGUGCCAAAUAGGGAUUUUUAUCACAAUUGUCAUUAUGAUUUGUGAAAAAUGUACGUUUACUCCUUUGUGUUUCAAAUCGAUUAAUGUCUUUUAUGAAUGUUGGCGGCACAACAAUCAGAGAGAACAAUUUUAUUGAAAACAAAAUAAAGAACACUAUACAAGAUAAAAAAUAGAGAACUUUAACGAAAAGCACCCGGUACUGUUCACUUUAACGAAAAGCCACAUUUUUACACUAAAAAGUCAAUCCUGGUACUAUUCACUUUACCCUUUAUUUUGUCCUUAUCAUUAAAACUCAAAGUUUUCAAACCCUUUUCAUUAGUUUUCCUUAAAAAAUAUCAACAGUUUAAUAAAACGAAAUUUGAACAAUGAAUUUGUAAUGAACUUUUUUGCGCAUAUAGAGGCUUGCGGACUUGUCAUUUUUGAUAUUUGAACUUUAGACAUCUCGCCACAAAUGAAGAAAAAUACCAUUAAACCGUAAUAUUAAAUAAUAACUUAAAAACCAUGUUAAUUUUAACGAUAAAACAAAUGUUCAUUUCCUAAGAAACAUGAGUAUUUCCCAAAGUGAGUGCCCAAAAAGAAUCUGUUCAGACUUGACACCCUCAUGUAGAUGAUGUCUAAAAUACCCAUAUCGCUUGAUCACCUCGCACAAGCUUCAAGGGAAAGAAUUGGCUGGUAAAACUUGUAAUUAUUUCUCAGCAGGAGGAGCAUUAUCGUAAAUCUGCUCACACUCCUACUACUAGAAAUUUGGCUAAAAGACACAUUUUUUUAUUGGUGUCUAUUGUCAAUUGUGGAUAGUUUCAUUAAUGGCAAACCUUAAUGGCCACUAAGCAGCCACUAAAUUAGAAAUGAUGUCCUAUAUAGAAGACUCUAUUGUUAUAAACACCACAAAUUAGAUAAUGGUGACACAAUAAAUAAUUACACCUUUGAACUUAUGUGACAAGAUGAUAUGUAGUCAUUGGCAAUAUGAUGAUCCUCGUGACGCACGCACAGUAGGCCAGUGAAAGAACUUAGCCCAUGUGACAAGAUGAUAUGCAGUCAUUGGCAGUAUGAUGAGGAGGUGGAUUGUCUGCCCUCCUAUUUUCAUACUCUUCUCAUUCUUUUCUAUUUGUAUGGUUACGGUUAAGGCAUGUUAACAUUUUAUAUUGAUUUUUUAUAAAAAUAAUAAAACAAAAAGUAAUAGAAAUAUAAAAUGUUGACGUGGCUUAACCGUGACCACACAAAACAGGAGGAGAUGAAAAGAGUAUGGAAAUAGGACAGCAGACAAUCCACCUCCGUAUGAUGAUACUCGUGACGCACGCACAUUAGGAUUCUUAUUUGGUUCUUUCUAUUCAUGCAUGUGCAUGUAGGGUCCCGAAUAUUUAUUUUUACAGUUUAGCCCAUCUAUGAUUAUUGGAGGCAGUUUCCAUUAACCUGACAAUUUCUUACCUGAUCUGUAAACACGAUACUAAAACGUUAUGAAAAUAAUAAAUUUUGGAUCGACAUGAUACUAAUCGGAUCAUUAUCAGGUCAUCCAAUAAGAACACAUUAUUAACAGGUUUAUUAUUGUAGGCCGUUGGCUUCAAUUUACACCAUUUAGUUAUAAUCUAGCCAUGUAUGUAUUGUUUGAACUUUGAUGAAAGAAAACAAAUAUCAUGAUCUCAAUGCUCUCAACAUAAAUCCAAAGCAUAGAUAUGUCGAUUGUUAUUGUAACUAUCUUGAAAGAGUUUGUAGUUAAGUUGAUUAAGAACAUUUUUAUAUGAAUAUUAGAUCGAGUCUAAAUUAUCUCUCCCCUAUUUCAUUGUAAGUUACCAUCCAAUUUGAAAUCAGCACAAAAUUCAAUUCUUAAUUCUAGCUAAUUUACUACAUGGCCGGAGUCCUUCACAUAUUUUGGAAAGGCUUAUGGACGAAUUAAGAGAUUGAUUUAAACUGGUGAUUUUCCUUCUACUUUGGCCGCUAAGCAGCAGUUUUCUUUGUUUUCAAGGUCCUUUUUCUUGGAUCAAUAAAUAUAUAUCGCUAAGAACCAACCAAGUGCAACCUUAGAAAAUAAACAAGCAAACAAAAACCGGAUAAUUAUAUAUCCAUGAAUAGAUGCUUAAUUCCACUUCAUCCACUAGCUUAUCUCCACUUGUUAGGAUUGAUAAACUACAAACUUAGUUCGUGCACCAGACAACAUUUUGUCUCUUGGGCCACACAAAUUAUAACCAAUAUUAAAUCGUGGCUUUACGUCAUGAUUUCUCAAGUACACGUGUUUUAAGAUAACUAAUAAUAUGGAAACUCUUUCAAAAUAAUAAUAAUAUGGAAACCCUAAUGAGGACUUAUUGGUAAAAGGUGUUAUUCUUUCUACACUAGGAACUUUGACUAAAACCAUAUAAACUGUCAAUUUUAAUGGAAGUACUCAAACACAGAGGGCUAGCUGUAACAUGUUUCCAUAAGAAGAGAGGAUCAGGUAAAGGACUAGUAAUAGCCAAAGUAAUAUAAUACGUUUAAUUGAUAAGAACAAGGGGAAAGCUUCAUUUGAGUUCAAUUUUGUUUCUUUAGAUUGGUUGUUGCUUGUUAACCAACUAACUUUUGGUGCAAAGUACUUCAUUAGCUUGAUGUAAAUAUUGUUGGUUUCGUUUCAUGGCAGUUUAAGUUUUUAGAGGCUAGUGUUUGUCAAACAUGGUAUUAAAGCUCUAGUUCUAAGAGUUUAUGGUCAAUUAGAAACCUCUAGGCCGCCUCGUUUAUGUUUCUUUCCAUGUUUAAGAAGAGGAUGUACGUGACAUAGGGUGUUAGCAUGCAUUGUAUGACACUUAAGUUUUUUGGGGCCUAGUUUUUUCUAACAUUUUCCUUCUCACAAUUGAAAGACAUUUCAAGUUUGAAUCUUCGUUUAGAGUCUUCUUCCCCUACGAUCCCUUGGAGGGAGCAAACCAAAGUAGAUGCCAGAUCAAGAUGUUUCACAAAACGGCUCCCUAUUGGCUAUUAAUAAUGAACUUUAAUCGCUUUAGCUAACUUUCAACCAGGCGCUUAAUUAGUGCAGUUGUUCGUAAGUUAUUUCCGUAUUUGUUGUUUCUCUCUUUGCUUAGUUUCAAUCUAUUUCCCCCUCUUUCAUGGCAAGAUGGGCAGCUGCCUACAAAUAUCGUAAAAUUUUCUCAAUCAUAUGAGAUUUUACCCAUCUAAAAAUUGAGCAGUUGAGUAAUAGCUUGAUUGUUACAUACAUUUGGCAAAGAUAUUUUUGUUUGUACUGGUAACGCAACCAUCAUGCGACAUUUUCAUAAUAUUAAAACUCAUCAUCAACAAUUUUUUCAGUUGUAAUGUUGCUUUUUAUGAUCAUUACUAGUGCCGGUUAAUUUUAAAGAGUUUUCCUUGUUUAACAUAACUCAUACGUUUUUGUACGUCGUUUCACUUAAUUAAGAUAUGUUAAGGAGACUCUUUUAAAAUUGAGAUUCUCCAUAAACUCUUUAUCAUCUAUUGUUUUAGCAUAAUUAUAUGACAACAUUAUAAAAUAAUAUGUAAAAAAACAUGAGAUGUCGGAAAGGAACUCUAACAAAUGAAACAUUACUCUUCUAGAUAACAUCAGUUAAAAAGUCAACAAAACCUGCCAAUAUCCCGGAAAAUGUGUCAGCCAAUUGUUCACAAUGCGUUUUCUGUAACGGCGUCCUCCGUGGCCACAAUUGCCCUCCCAGUAUUUGUUGCACAACUGCCCUUCACGUCCUCAUCUUUUAACGGCACACCGUUUACUUCAUUCCUCCGAAACGACAAAAACACCCCUCCCUCCCCUCCGUGACUCCGUCCCCAAUGCACAACUGAACAAAGAAACGACGUAGGGUAGAGUCAGGCGGAAUUGACGCCUUAACCGUCGGUAGGGCCCAGGUUUCAGUGGCUUUUAUCUUAAUACAAUGACAGGACAUGGGGCGAUGGUCAUAGUGAAAUUAUUGAAGCUCUUUCUGUAGAGAAAUUUUUAGUUAUGAUUUAUGCAAGUGACAUAAAAAAAUUUAAUUUUUAAGUUAUUAAUCUUUUAAUAUUAUAAACCAUCAUUUUUAUAAAAACACGUGAUAUACCAUCUCGUAUAACGGUUAUACUAAAAAAUCUCUUAUUACUGUGGCAGCUUUGCAGCAGGUGCUAUAUAUCCUAUAUAUAGUUAUAUACGAUACAGAACAUAACCUAAUCCAAAGCAUAAAAAAGCCUCUAAUUCACUACACAUUUGUCGGCAGAGCUUUGUGCUCACUGUUGACCCAAACCAGUGCUCAGAACUUUCUCCGCCGCCGCCGCCACUCAACACCCACUUAAUCAAACAUUCUACCUCACAAUGCAGCUCCUCCACGGCGGCCUCGGCCUUGUGUUGGUUCUGAAUUCGUUGCUUCUGCUUGUGUCUUGUCAAGUUCAGCAACCCCGGGCCAGCACCCGCUGGCUCCCAGCCAUCGCCACCUGGUACGGCAACCCCGAAGGCGACGGCAGCGACGGUAAGAGCCUACCCUCAAACACAAUUCAAUUUGGUUUUAGCUUACAAUGCCGCAUGUUUAGACAGUCAAAAGUAUCAUUUGUACGUACAGUCUCAACAGAUUUUGUACAUCUCAGUUGUAUUAUACUUGCGUCAAUUUAAAUUUAGUCAAGUUGAUUAGAUCAAUGUGCUUGAACUUCACUGCACCAAAGUUUGAAUUUUCUUUUCCGUUAAUAAAGAUAAAUUUAGAGUAAUUAAAGUGAAUUUUUUAUACUUUUCUUCUGUUGAGAUGGUACAAAUUAUUUUAAUUGGUCGUGAAUUAAUUAUGUCGGCAUGUGCUUAAUUUUGGUAGGCGGAGCGUGUGGGUACGGGUCAAUGGUGGACGUGAAGCCGUUCAGGGCGAGGGUUGGUGCGGUGAACCCGGUUCUGUUCAAGAGCGGCGAGGGGUGCGGCGCGUGUUACAAAAUCAAGUGUCUCGACCAGAGCAUCUGCUCGAGACGACCCGUCACAAUAAUCGUGACAGAUGAGUGUCCGGGCUGCUCGAAGGGGCCGGCCCAGUUCGACCUCAGCGGCGCCGCCUUUGGGCGCAUGGCUGUGGCCGGCGAAGGCGGUUUGCUCAGAAACCAAGGCGAACUCUCCGUCCUUUACCGACGGUAACGUUCGCAUAUGUCAUGUUUAGCUUGUUUGCUUUAACGGUCCUCGUUCGCAUAUGUCAAUUUAAUUAUUUUACCUACAGGACACCAUGUAAGUAUCCUGGGAAGCAGAUAGCCUUCCAUGUAAAUGAAGGUUCAACAAAUUAUUGGCUAUCACUGCUAGUAGAGUUUGAGGAUGGAGAUGGAGACGUCGGAUCAAUGCAUAUAAGACCGGCACGUUGUCCUUUCUCUUUUUUAUACAUUGCUGCAUGCCUCUAGCAACUUUACUUUACUUUUACAUUUACUUUUGCUAUUAAGAAAACAAAAAUGUUGCUCGUACUACAUAUUUGUAUCAUAUAUCUAAUAAAAAUGAGACUCACAUAUAUUGGUGUGCCUUACCUUUAUUAGAGAGAUGAUACAAAUGAUGGUACAAAUAUAUAGUAAGUGUAACAUUACUCGAAAGAAAAUGCAUGCCAAAUCAACGAAAUUAAAGAUAGUUUUUCCUUGAAAUAUAACGAAGUACUUAGUCGUACAAUUCCACGUUUUCAAAUAAAAAGCAGUGUAAACAUGUCCAAACUGGUUUACAAACCUUCAAAGAAAAUGAUACUUGUGUAGUGAAUAUUUUAGUCAUGAGAAGCAAGACUUACAUGUUAUGAGCAUAUUGUUGCAUCAACAAUGUACUCGUGAUAUGUAAUUGAGUAAUUUGAAUUGUUAUCUUCCAGAAACAACAUAAUUCCUAUCUCAUACCUCAAUCUGAAACAAUUUUGCAAAGCCAUAUUUUAGCGUUAAUUAAGUGAUUAAAGAAUUUAAAGUUCACUAAUUUUUUAUUUAUAUUUUUGUGUUGGUGGGAUGAUGCAGGCAAGUUCAAGCGAGUGGAUCGAGAUGAGUCAUGUAUGGGGAGCUAAUUGGUGCAUAAAUGGGGGUCCUCUAAAAGGACCAUUCUCAGUGAAGAUUACAACUCUCUCGACAGCAAAAACUCUCUCAGCCAGAGAUGUCAUUCCCGGUAAUUGGUCUCCAAAAGCCACUUACACUUCUCGCCUCAAUUUCCACUACUAGCUUGGCUUAAUGUUUGACAAACAGGUCAUGAUAUAUAGAAUAUAAGCACUUUUUUGACUAAGCAUUUUCUAGGCCCAAAAAAGGCUUGUCCGGUUGUCCCCAUGAGACAAAAGUAGCCGUUGUCGGGUUGGUGUUUUUGGUUUUUAAAGAAAAGUAGCCGUUGGAUUGCACUAAUUAAUUAUAAUGGCAUCCAAUGCUCUUUCUUUUUUUCUUUUUUCUUUUACUUUUGAGAAAUUGUUUUUCCUACUUUCCUGCUGUUCCGACUACACUGAGAUAUGUUGCCAGCCCUCUCCAAAAGGAGAGAGAGCGUGUGUUCUUGCUUUGUUAAUGCUAUAUGUAAGUUUGUGGACCCAAUGGUGUUUUAAUGAAUUUGGACCCUUUGAUUGCACUUUAAUGUCGCGUACCAUUGGAGAUCUCUGAGCAUACAAGAACUCAUGUUGGAGAGCAAAACUUAACUAUAUCUCUUAUCUGCUUUUAUCUCUUUUGCCACAUAAUUAAAUAUAUAACGAAUAAGAUAAACAAGAAGAUAUACAACAAUGUAUAGAUAAACUAUUGUCCUUAUGUAUAGGGUGAUGUUAAACACUUUAAAAAAGAAGUUACGGACAAUCACUCAUGUAAAUUUAGUUGCAUCAACGAUUAACAGACACUCGCAUACACAAUAGCUAGCUUGGUUGUCCGAGUAUAUAUAGUAUCUAGUGCGGCAAAGUAAGUGAAGGAACAAGAUAGAGUUUAGACUACGUACUUUCGGCUGUAGAACAUUAAUUUAUGAGUUCAUAGAAGGGGCCAGGGGUUUCUAUUCCUAUUCCAAAGGGUAACAGCCCUAAAAAUGAAUGUCAGAACCUGUAAUUGAAAUGCAUAAUGAUAUUCUUCUUCAUAUGUAAGUGAGAGGUCUUAGUUUUGAAUAUCGUGAAUAACGAAUUCGAUACCAAAUUGGGUUCCCUAUUGUGUGAUUUAACUGAACUCUCCCCUCCCUUUAUUGUAAAAUAUAUUGUUGUACUAAAAAAAAAUGGAGAUGUAUUGGUCACAUCACAUACAUAUAUGAUCAUCCACAUGCUGACGUGUUUACAACCUUCAAAUCUCUCACAAUUCGCAAGGGCUGCUUGUGUCGAGAAUUUUUAGGACGUUGGGAAUACUCUCAUCAUAUCAAGUAGCAUCAUAUAAGUAAUUAAAAUAUUUAUUUUUAAAUAUCUAACUACUUGUAUUAUAAUACUUACUAUAUCGAAUCGUAUUUUUGGUACACUAAAAAAAAUUUCACUUUUGUAAUGCAUAACAUUGCCAGUGACGAAAAGGGUCAAGUAUUCAAAGGGUUGUUGUCACCACCACAAGUGGGGGGGGGGGGGGGGGGGGGGUCGGGGGGUGGUGGGGCUGGAAAAUCCCCCAAGAUACCGGGAUCUUUAGAGUAGUCUUUUUGCCGGUUCCGUUCUCUGAGGCACCAUGGUCUUAAGACCCCAUAUUCAUUUUUUGGUUUAAAACUUAAAAUUCUUAACUCAGAAAAUUUAAGUUUCUAUCCCAAAAGUUUUCCGUUCUAAUUUUUCUGGAUUAAAUAUCUAGCUCGAAAUUAUUAAGGAAGAAAUUUAGAAUAAUUUUUGUUCUUAAAGUAACUUAAAAAAAAAUAUGUAUACUAUCCAAAUUUACUUUUAUGAACAUUUUAACCUAAAAACAUUUAGAUUUCGAUAAAUAUUAAAAAAUUAGUAAACCGACACCGUGAAACUUGUGGAACACUAUGAAAGAUGACACGCCCUAAUCUCGAUAUUCCCCGAAUACCAGGACAGGCACGUGCUGGGCGACACCCGAGGGUGACGAAAGCCAUUUAUUGAAUGCAAAUGUUGAGAACUAAAAAUAUAAAUAAGAAUAAUAGAGAUUUAAAUAUAAUGAAUAUGCAAUUUAGGAACGUGUUCAGAGCACACAUCUAAUCUAGAACACCAAAAGAAAGAAUAUAAAAUUGAAUGAACAAGGGAAUGUGGGUCUUACACCGAGAGGACUUGAAGAUGCUGAUGCGGAAGUGCCUUGACGCCGGGAUUGUAUACCUCGAUACUAACGCCGGGAUUGUAUGCCUCGAAGGGGGCGCAAAACAAACAUGAGUGGACCAAGUUGAUAUAGAUAUAAUAAAAUAGUUAUCAACAUACUAACCCCCAAAGUUUUAUGAAAACUAAUAGCAUAAUAUGUGAUAGGUUUUUCUGAAAACCCUAGCAUGCCAUAAAACCUUUCAUAAAAUGUAUCUCGUAUAUAGUGUGCUAACUAGUGGUAUCAUAAUCGACCUGAAGGCCGCUACAUCACCCGACCCGAAGACCAAUAUAAUAAUCUUCAAUCGACCCGGAGGCCCUUACAUCACCCGACCCAAAGGUCAAUAUAAGUAUCAUUGCCUGGAGGCAAAACAAUGACCACUAGAUAUGCACAAAACAUUGAAUAUAGUAUUUCCAAACAUAGGUACAUAUAUCUCAAAAACUUCUUCAUAGUAUAAAUUCAUUCAUCAUCUAUACUAUAAAGAAGUGUGUAAAAACAUGUUCUAAAUAGUAUAUCGUCAUCCAUCAGAUAUCCUACGAAGAAAAUGAGUUCGAUAGAAAAUAUGGUAAUUCCAAAAUAUUCUAAGUAAGCAUAAUAUCUCAAAAAACGUUAUCUAAAACGUGAUUAUUAAAUCAUGUUUUUCAUGUAUGCAUUUCUACUAUUAAAACAUGCAUUUUAGAAGGGGUCAACUCACAGAUACUUAGCCGUCGAAGAGCCACGCAAACUAGUGAACACGGAAUCGUCACAAAUAGUUGCCCUUAAGCACAUAAAGGGUCCAAUUAAUAAAACUCUAUUAUAACAAUUGAAUUUGGGAAAACAGACGUCAGAAACAGUUCAGGACGUCGAAUUACCCUAAGAAGGAUCCCGGGUAAAUUUCGCAAAAGUCAAUAGAAUAUUCCUAGAACAUUCUUUAAUGAAAUAUUCCCUAACAUGAAUAUGGAAUAUUCCCUAACAGAAUAUUCCCCAAAAGGGUAUGGGCUAGUUAGGGUUUAGGGUUUGAAAGGUUAAAGGGUUUAGUGGUUAAGGCCCUAGGUUAAAAGAGUUUGGGUUAGGCUUUUAAAAGGGUUGGGCUUUAAGGGUUUCUAAUUUAAAAAGGGUUUUAGUGCUGGGUUAGUGACGGGCCUGGGCCCAGACGCAAAGCCCAAGAGCCUUUGGUUUCCAGAAAAACAAUAAAAUAAAUAAAUAAAUAAAUAAAAGGGGUUCGGGCUUUGGGGGUCACGGGCCUAAGGCCCAAGUUCUAAAUGACCCAAAGGCCUAAGUGACAAAGGGUUAGGGGUUUAGGCUUUAGGCUAAUGAGUGUUUCAUUUGAUUAGGCCUAGGAAAUUAGGUUUAGGUUGGGCUCAUCUUUGGUUUGGGCUGGGCUACCUCAGGCCGGUUCUUUAGCCUGUUUGUUAUGUGGGUCGCUGGAACCAAUUCAAGGAGAAGGCCGGAUUUUGGCUGAGAGAUUGAACAAACUUUAAAUGUUCAUAACGUUGUCAAUACUCAACGAAAUCGAGUGAUUCAAAAAUGAAAAUCAUAGUUCUCGACAAGUCGAAGAGAAUGGUACCUCACACGACGUCUAACUAGCCAUGGUUUGACCAUAAAAUGUCUCGAAAGCCGCAGUGGUUGCCGGAAACUAGGUAAGAUUCAAAUGGAUAUAACUUCUUCAAUACUUAACGAAAUUGGGUGAAACAAAAAGGAAAGUUGUAGUAAUCAGCGAGACAAAGAGAUUGAUACCUUUCAAACCGGCCAACUCACCGUGGUUUGGCCGAAAAUUGCCUCGAAAGGGGUGGUGCUUGCUGGAAAAUUUGGAAAAGCUACUCCGAGUUUUGCGAUUCACACAUAUACACCACUUAAAACAACCUUCGAUCUAACCCUAAAACACAAUCCAAAAGGUUUCUAGAAGCUUACCAAUGUCGAAAAAAUUCAAAACAUGUCGAAGAAUACGAUGAACAGUGACACCAUCACUGUUGGGGUUCCACGAAGGUUUGCUUGAGUUUCCCCGAGGUUCCUACGUCCAUUGGUGUUGGUUUUGGGUUGUUGUUGUUGUUGCUUGUGUGAGUGACAAAAUCGAGAAGAGAGGGAGAGAUCACAGAAGGAGUGCACGGGGAGAGAGAGAAAGGUCUGAGGGUGAGGGAAGAGAUAAAGGGAGGGAAAGUUAUAAAAAAAUCAGAAGAAGAAAGAGAAGGGGAAGGGAACUGGGGGACACAAAUAAUGGGGUGGGCUCCUUGGGCUCACCAACUAAGACCCAAAAACCAUUUUAAAAGGAAAAAUACCCCCAAACUUAGUGAAAAUACAAAAAUACCCUUUUUGUUCCGCAAAUCCCGGGACGGGUUGUUACAAAAGAUAUAAAAGACAUGAAAUUUUUUUUUAUAAUUAUUUUAGCCGUUGGAAUUAAAUUUGGACCAGUAGAUAUUAUUAUUAUUUUUUUUAAAUUUGAUCAUAUUAGAUUUUAGCCGUUACAUUCAAUGAAUUUAUAAAUAUAAAACAAAAAAAAAAUUACACAUAUAUGGUGGACUAGUCUCCACCCCACCAAUUCAGGGGAAAUUCUGGCCUAAGUUUGCUCUAAAAAUGAGUUUUUUUUGUUAAAACUCAUAUUUGACCCAUCGGUUGGAGCAAGUUGGGGUAUGUUUAUAACUUCAAAUUUGAGUUUUACUCCAAGCAUUAGAGUAGAUCUAAAAAAUAAUAGUGGGCGGUUAUUUACUAUUUGAUUUUGAUCUUAAUUUAUUAGAGAAGUAUAAAAAUAAAAGUUAAAUAAUCAUUUACUGUCAGAUUAAAAUUGAACCGUUGAUGAGCAAAUUUUUUUUUUUUUGAACCAUAAGGUCUUGGAGAACGAAAUCUUUUUUUUUUGGGUAAAUAUAUAUGAGAUAGGAUCAUCGCUGGAUCCUCUUAUGGGGAUCCCAGGAAUCCUUUAAUCCUAUCUGUUCAUCAUACAUCGUGUGAUCAGUUUUCGUCAGAUACUGUUCGUGUUCAAUUUUAAAUAAUAAAAUUUAAAAUGAUUUCUGACCGUACGAUGUACUAUGAAAAGACAUGAUUAAAGUAUCUUGGGGAUCCUCACCAAUAGAACUUUUGCCAACUCAAGAAGAUAUUAUGCAAGGAAAACCAAUAGCUAGGAGGAACAUCACUAAGGAUCAAAAAACAUUUUAUUAAGUGGGUUGCAAUGUAGAAUACGUAAUUAUGAUAAAAAUCAAGUUAAUUAUAGAGAAUCAUGUGAUUAUUACUUAACAUAACAAGGUUGGUAGUUAUAUUGUGGACGUUCUAUUACAUUGUCAAUGUAAGUUUUUCUAUUUCAACGUGAUUGAAUUACAAAAUCAACAUUUAUUGUACACCAAUCGCAUACUAUUACAAUACAGACGUAUGUUAUUACUAGGGAACGUUACGAACUUACACAAACUAUUAGUUUUAACCUAAAUUUCUUAAGAUAAAAUUGCGGAUUUAAAUGAAAAUAUCCCCAAACGCAAUGAUACAGUGAAAACCUACAGUCAUGUCGCAAGCAAUUAAAUGAAAACCAUCCGAAUGAGAACGAUCGGUUGGAACCGGGGGGGGGGGGGGGGCAGGAUCAUAGAAAGACAAUUGGGAAACAAAAAGGCUAUUGGGAAUAUAAACAAAGACUUGCGAGUAAAUUGGUUGGCAGCACGCGUCGGGAGGGGGGGAGAAUCAUAGAAAGACAAUUGGGAAUCAAAAAGGCUAUUGGGAAUAUAAACAAAGACUUACGAGUAUAUUGGUUGGCAGCACGAUAGAGGCUACAGAGUGUUUCACUCUCAUGUUAUAUAUGAGUCUGGAAGUGGAAGUAUAGAUCAUAUAUAUAUGCUCUGAGGGAGGGAGGGGGGCCGAAGGAUUCCUCAUUCGACCUUAUAAGUUUCUCAACCUGAAAGUAUAAUCAUCUCAGGCUACAUCAAAGUUGGAUCAUCCUGGUAUCCUAUCAACUGCCUAUAAAUAUUCCACGUUUUAGAUCUAAACGUAUGAUUAGUCGAUAUAAACUCUCCGGCAUUAUCCAGUCUCCCGAACUUUAUGGGAUAAGUAGAGUGGUGAACCCUUAAUCGGCCAGGAGGUUUAGCAGCAAUGUGUGUGGACAAACAUGUGACCAGUUUGUCGAUUCAUCAACCAAAACCAUAAGUAUUUAUAUGGUCCGCAUUUUGGUUGGAUUAGUCCAUAUAUAUUCCCUUAAAUCCAUUGUGAAAAGAGAGUCAUUUCCUAUCUUUGCGAGGGAUGAUAUAAAAAUCAAAUUUCCCAAAUGAGCGAGCUUUGGCACAGGCAAAGUGUGCUUGUAAACACAAUCCUGACUUCGGGUAAGGAGAUGCGUCGUAGCAUCAUUGUUCGACCUAAGUGUCCCAAAAGGUUGUGCCAAAGCAAGUAAACUGCUCGAAUCACCAAGCUCUAGGCCGGCCACAUGUGGUGUGUUUCCCAGUUGGGAGACAACCCGUUGGCCCCAAAUCAAAGCUUUAGGCUCAUUUUUGGAGGUGGUGUAAAAACAUUUCACUCUAUUUUCUUCAGUGGUUUCAUUGAUGAUCAUUGUUCUCUAGAAUAUCCUUAAAAACUCAACGACAGGGAGAAUUUAAGGUCCCUUAAAUGGUAAUGCAGUACCAUUCAUACAACGAGGAGUGUGCCAAUGCUCUUAAUCAGGUUGGAUAUACCUGAAGUCGUUGCUAGAGAUGUGAUUUAGAUGUAAAGUUACUAUGCGUAGUAUCGCAUUCAUCCAGACAACUAACAUUCCCACAUUCAUACUUAAUCAUGUGUUUAAUUGAAUUGGGUCACAUGUAUAAAGACACAUGAUUUAAUUAACUCGUAUUCGAGGACAAUAUCAAUAAGAUUAUCCAUAAUUAAAACAUACACCAAACUUGAAUCCAAGAACAUGGAAAAAUGUUCACAAAGUAAAUGGUUUACUAAGAGGAUUCGGCCAACAAGGCCAUCCAUGUCAAAAUUCUGCUAUUCCAACGGUGUUUGGUGGAGCAAAAUUAGUUUCACAUAUUGACUACGAGAACGGUACUCUUCAACGACAUUGAUAAAGGCACGAGCAAGUGCAUAACCAAUGAUCUAUUCCAUCGAGACGAAAGUAGAUUCUACAGGGUUGAGGUUUGGGAAUAUUAUCCCUUAUUCUUGAAGUUUUAGGUCUUAGGUGUCAAGGAUCAUGCUUCGGGCAUGAUGCCACACCUUGGCAGGCCCUGAUUCUACCAUAUGUUGUAAAAACAAACUAGAAAUUGGAUUGUGAGAGACAGACCUAAAAUUGGAAACUUCAGCCGAAGUUAGAAGGGUCUGUUCGGUAGGUCUCUGCAGAAACAGAGAAGUACCAUUCGAUGCGCCUCUACCGAAGCAAGGCAUCACCGUUCGAUAGGCUUUGAUCAAACUGGGUUGAGCCAAUCGGUGGACUCCAGCCGAACUGAGUCCAUACCUUUCUCUCACGUUUUGGGUAGUAAUCAGAUCCGAAAAUUUGGUAAACUUCUGCUUUCUACACUACUGCUUUAGGAGUAAGUUAGAAACAAAGAAGGACGAGACAAGUAUUCUCCAGUCAAAAUUCGAUCGGAUUUAUAAACUUUAGAAUUGUACUCAUUUAUGGACGUAAUCAUGGUGUGUUUCGGGCAAUAUCUUUCAUGAUUAGACAGUCCUUAUGAGCGAGCCAAAGAGCCCAGAAAUGCUGGUUCGAGAGGUACUUCCGUUUGUAAUGCUUCGAGCAUAAAUCUUCGAAUGAAGAUCAUGGUGGAGGCUUAUUCAGCUCUUCCUUGCCAUUGUUGGCUACAAUGGUUUCUCAGCUUCUCGAUAGUUAAUGGGAGAUUCACGUCUUGUAGCCCACAUAAAGUGGUUUCUAUUAGAAACAUCCAAAUCAGGGAAAAUCCAACUUGUGACGAUUCGAGAAUCCACUGAAUUAGAGGGAACAAGAUUGUGAUUGGUGCUAUGGGAAUGAAUCAUCACUAAGCAUCAAAAUUAGAACAUUCGAGUUCCAAGACAUGGUAUACAUGAAAAACGUUGUGUUUUCAUGGGUGUAUUGUUUUAUGAAACUUCGGGUUUCAAAGGCACUAAAUUUGAAACUACAAGUUCAAUUUAGUUUAUUAACGUUUAGUUCAUAAAAGAGAGGUUCCUACAAGAACACAUAAUGUAAUAUGCUGAUUUAAGUGUAGUGGAUUUGAGUUGCUUUAGAAACUCAAGUGUGAGUGUUUCGGGACUACGAAAGGAUGUCAAUGGUUCAAAGAAAAGAAAUAAAAUAUUGAAUCGUUAAUGUCCAAAACUGGUCUUCAGGUUAAUAAUUUUGGAUUCAUUAUCAGAUUAAUGGAAUGCAGGUCACUUUUAAUUAAUUCAAUAAAUCAGGCUAUACAUGGUCGAUUGUAGAAGCAAAAAUAAUAAUAACAUUCGAGUUUAAAUUAUUUAAAAAUGCUAAAUAAUAGCAUUGGGUCGAAAAAAACCAUAGCCCAAAAAAUUGGGCUGGGUGCCGUGUAGGUUCGGUUGCAGUAUGUAGCCCAAGGGAUGGCUUCAUGACACACCUCGACCUGGGAAGGUCGAAGCAUGUUGGCCAUCACCGUGAGGUGACGUAACCAUAAGGGUAAGUGAUGUGAAAAAGUGAAUAAAUUUAAAUCUAAAAUUGCCUAAAACAAAAGAGUGCGCGAGUGAGCGGGAUUGCACCCAUUUCACACGUGAUGGUAAAGCAUAAGAACAGUACAGUAAUUAGGGUGAGGGUUAUACCACUAAGGUACCCAUCUACUAAGAUCUUGCCAGAGUCCUCGUUUACAUGCAAGCACACCUACUAAACCUGGAAGGGCGAAAAAUAAAGUUGAGUGGGUCAGUAAAACAACGUUUUGUAAAAAACCUUUAUUUCCGAAUAUACUAACCUCUCGCUGUAAAACAAGUAUAGUUUCCUUAAAACAUACUACGUAAGUAUGUAAACAACAAUACAAUAACAUUAUAACUAGAAAUAUGCCAAGUCAUGCGAUAUCAAAUGGCACAAUAAUAUAAUCAUGUGAUAAUCAAGUAUAGCUAAGUGCUUCUCCAUCUAGGUUGACACACGAGUUCGAACAGAUAAUUUCUGACACGAACAGGACUGGGUGUAAUCAACAUGCUCUAGUACUACGAUCACGUGAAGGCUGGUGCAGAAGCACGGUCACAUACAAGUCAGAUUGCCUAAUGCAAUCUACCUGACAAGACUGGCACUUAACUUGGAUCCAAGGCUAGUGAAUGGUGCGAUGUGAACAUACACGUGAAGGACUGGCCCUGGCCCUGGCCCUGGGGCGAGUACUAACACCGGUGCAGCAAGAUGAGCAUGUACAAAUAUGUAUGAAUGUCAUGACAAUAAUAUCUCAACCAUAUAGCAGCAUUUAUCACAAUUACAUCGCAGUUAUCAGUUAUUUGGCAAUAUAUACAUAAAGUGAUGUAUUUAUGCAACUCCAGAAACUAUAAAUACGUAUAGAUAUAAAAAUAAACUGCCCACUCACCUGGAGUCUGUGCUAUGACUCCUUAGCACGAAUAUCAAGACGUCAUGAACAAACGUUGCCUAGAACAAUUAUCAAAUCACAACUCAGGAUUCUUAUCGAUAGAACACACAACUGACAUAAAACACAUCCCCAAGGGCAUUCUAGAAUGAUUUGAAACUCAUUAACCAAAAGUCAACUGUCGGUCAAAGAUUCACAACCCUACAUAACUUGAUCCAGAAGCUCCGCACCUCGGAUUUUCAAUCCGUAACUUCCAAAGAUUCACAUUAUGCUUCUAGAACAACAUUCUAAAGUUUCAGAACGAUCCAAUGGUCGGAUCUCCGCCAAUUGCCAAAAUUAAGUGGAGGUCAACACUUUAUUUUGUGAACUAACAAAUUCAAUUCGGGAAGAUCCGUACAUCGGUUUCCCGAUCCAUAAGUUUCUAUGAUCCUCAAAUAUUACGUUCUAUAAGGUACUAAGGUUUGGUGACGAUCCAACGGUUGGAUCGUCAAUUCAUGCAAGGACCCUAUGACGGCCAACUACGAAACUACAUGAAAACAUUGUAAUUUCACUAAACGGAUGACAAAUAUGGAAUAGGGGCUUCAAAAUUAGCCUAAGGCGGUCAGAUGGGGUCUCGGCCCACGCGCUGCCGCGCGUGGUGGCUGGCUACCACGGUUCGCCAGAGAAUUCCACUAUUUCUUAAAAUUCUCAAAUUUUAUAGAAAUAAAGAUCUCAAAGAGAUGAACAACUUUCAUACCUGCCAUGAAGUCCAAAAGUGGACAGAAGAUGGUCAAUUUUGCCCACAAAGCCAAGGGUGCCUAAAACUUCCCGGCGUCGAUUCGUCGUCUAUGGUGGACCAACGGGGUCAAGGUUGGUUGGGAUUUUCUCCUGGGAUGAUGGGCUACAAAGCCCAAAUGGUGGCAUCGGCAUUGCUUUGCCGAUUUGCCUGAAAAUUGAAAAGAGUGGUCGGACAAGGUUUUGAUGGGUCGGAUUUCGUGGCUUCGUCCCGCCACAUGUGGUGGUUUCUAAAGGUGAUUCUUAGUUGGGUUUUGUAGAGGGGAGUGAGGACUUCAAGAUGGUGGUGGCGGCGUCGAAAAACUUCACUGGAGUUGGUCGGAAUUGGCCUUGGAAAAUAGGUCCUUUUUUUUUUUUUCCUUUUCCUGAUCUAAUUUCUGAAGGCUUUCCUUCCUUUUAUGUGAUUGGUCCCCCUUAUUUAAGCCUAAAAUCUGAUUAGGCUUCUUUCCCACAAGGUGGGAAUUCAAUUAACUUAUAAACCAAAAUAUAAAUAACCAAAUUCAAAUGUCUGUAACUAUACUGUUAUAAUCCGGACUCGCAAACGGCUUUUGCUUAUGCGUUCAUAAUGACGAGUACUACGAGGGUACACUAAAAUAAUAAGUCCUACCUUUCUCAAAUCAAUGGUCAACGGAAGUCAAAGUCCUUACCUUUAGGGCAUUUUUGUAAAUUCACAUUUUUAAAAUUAAUAAAAACGUACAAUUAGGGACUGGUUGUCACACUUCAGGCAACGGGCCAUAUGCAAGGGAGCCUAGCAGCAGCAGCUCUUGGUUUUAGGCUGAAAGGGGGGCAUGGGUUAGGCCCAGCAACAGCUGGCCAUGGGUUGGGUUCGGGGCAAAAGAAGCCCAGCCUACUGGGCUGGCUUGGUGACACGCGGGCUAGGAGGGUCAAGCCUAGCAAGCCAAGGGCUUGCGUCGUGUGGGCCAAGGUGAGGCAAGGGUUCAUCAAAUAGGUCAGGCCGUGUUGGACUCAGGGGUUUGGAUCGAGGGCUACAGGCCUUAGGGUUAAUCAACCCAUUUUUUUUUUUCCGACAUGUUAGGGUUAAAAAAAAACUAGAAUUGCUUCUAAUUUAUUUUAUAUGCUUUGACUCACAAUUCCACAUAGCAAAUAUAAUUGUGUAACGCAUGAAACAAAUAUAUAAAUAUAUACAAUAUAUAUAUAUAUAUAUAUAUAUAUAUAUAUAUAUAUAUAUAUAUAUCGUAAGGAAAAUAUAAACAUAGAGGAGUUCAUGCAUCAUGGGGAAUGUUUUCAUGCUUCAUGGUCGUUUCAAAUAUCUUCCUUUAUUUUAAGCGUACCUGGUUGGUAGAAAACAAUAAAAGCCUUUGAAUUUGUAGUAGAUCUUCUCGGAAAGCCGAAAUUGCAUCUCCAAUGCAUUGUAUUAUGUUCAACAAAGAUAAAUUAAAUUGAAUCAAUAGCAUGUAGAUCAAUUAAUUUAAUCAUAAAAAAAAAUAUUAAAAUGUAAUACUCCCCUGAUUGAAGAAUAAACUCUCUUUAGCGUAGCGUCAAGAGCGUGUUGAUAAUGUGUUGUAGGCAUAAUUUACUGAACUGUAUAAAGGCCAGAGAGAGAGAGAGGGGGUGCGGCACAUAGAGAGAGAAGAGAGAGAUGUGUAAUUGUGGAUGUGUUCUAUUUUAUUCCACCCCAUUAUGUCUUUAUUUAUAGUAAUAGGAUAGGUAAAAUCUUUACCCUUUUAUGAUUACAACUCUUAAUAGGUAAUCAACUCCUAAUAGGAAUAUAAGAGAUAUUCUUAAAUUCACUAGAAUUUACACAAUCACAUUCCUAAUCUAAUACGACUACAACAAUUGUCUAAUUAUGUGAGCAAUUAUCGUUCUAAAUAGUGGAGUUGUUUUUUGUUAUUUUGCCAAAAGAGUGGAGUUGCUCUAACGCAAUGAUAGGGUGAAACCUAAGCUCAUUUCGCAAGCAAUUAAAUAAAAACCAUCUGAACGACCAGACAAAAUAGCAAUAGAAGAAGUUAAAGAAAAAAAGAAAUUAAAAGGGCAAAAGUGUUACGUGAGAGAGACGAGAGUAUGUGACUUAGAGCUUUUUUUAUUCCCUUUGAUUGUGAGGGGAAUAAUAGAAAGACGAUUAUUAAAUGAAAUAGCGUAAAAAGACUUGCAAGGGAAUCGACUUUGAGUGCCGAGAGAGUGUUUCAUUCUCACAUUAUAUAUGAGUCUGGAACUAGAAAUAUAGAUUUAUGUAUGCUCUGAGGGAGGGUGGGAGGGGGCGCGAAGGAUUCCUCAUUCGACCUCAUAAAUUCCUCAUCCCGGUAAGUUUUCCCACCUACUGCCUACAAAUGUUAGAGACACUACAUUUUGUAAAUUACAUAAUAUGAAAGUUGAUGAUUAAACUAUUACUCAAGUGUAGAUUAACGUGCUUAUUUUUUAUUAGUGAUACAUUGUUUAAUUUACAAAUUUAAUCUACUUAGUAUUAUUCUUCCUCGCUUUAGAUCUAGAGGUAUUAUCAUAAUGAAGUAUCUGCUUUUUCUAUUUUUAAUUAUAGUAUAUGUUGGAAAAUCAUACAUAUCAAAUGAAACUCGUUUAGGUUCAUAUCUAGUGGAAUUAAUGAAUUUCAGACCACCUUAGUGGUCUUGCUAGAGUUAGGGUGAAUGUUUGGUCCAAUAUUUAAAAAAGGAAUAUUACUCAAGAGACAUUAGUAUAAUCCAUGUUCUAUACUGAGUGAAUUACUAUUUAUUCAAUAAUUACAUUAAAUAAACCUGACGUUAUAAAAUUUAUGUAUGGUUCCAAUAAUAAAUUUGGUAGUUUAAGUAAGGGUAAAUUACAUUUUACCCCCUCAGGUUUGGGGUCAAUUUCAAUUUUUUACAACAUCUUUAAAACAUUUCAAAUUCAUACAUUUACUUAUCAUUUUAUUUCAAUUUUAUACAUCCGUUAGAAAAAUCUGUUAAGUAAACUGUUAAGUGACGAUGUGGCAAAUAUAGGAUCCACAUUUGUGUGCCACGUGGCAAAUUUUUAUUUAUUUUAUAUUAUAAUAAUUUACCCUAUUAAAAAAAAAGAGCAAACCCAAAAUCCCAUCUUCCCCCGACCCACCUCCUGGUCCUCCACUCUCUUCACCUCCCCUCCUAUCCAAAAACCCACCCCCACUGCCUCUUCUUCUUCUUCAUGGGUAUCUCCUUCUUCUUCCUCCCACAUCUUCUUCUCCACCUAAGAGGCUUGUUAAUUGAAGAUGGUGUUACAGAGGUCCCUGAAAUUGGGGUCCCAAUGUUUGAACAAAUUGAAGAACGAGAGGUGUCGGGGACGAAUGUGUAGAGGCUGUUGGAGCCUCUGUGGCCCUCGAGGCUUACCAUUGUCAAAAACGACAAGAACUUCGCCGAGGGAAGUCGAGUCCGAGACGGGGCUCUUCGAUUUAAGGGCUUGGGGUUUGAAAAUCACCAAGCACAGACUUGUGUUUGUUCCACGAGAAACAUUGGAUCAUGGUGGUGGUCUGAUAUCAACGGGGAACGACGGUGAAGCCACUGUUGGAGUCGUCUUGGUGCGUCGGGAAUCGUCGGAGAAGACGAUGAACGGUGGGAGCAACCACUGAGGAGGUGGGGGGGGGGGUAGGGGGGUUGCGAGGGAGGCGGGGGUGGGGAGGGAUGAGGUGGGUUUUUGGAUGGGAGGGGAGGUGAAGAGAGUGGAGGAGAGGGAGGUGGGUCGGGGGUGGAAUGGGUUUCUGGGUUCUGUUUUUGUUUUGUUUUUUUUUUAAUUAAUUAUCUUAUUAAAUAUUUAGCCACGUGGCACAAAUGGGACAGCUACGUCAACUCUUAACGGACCAAUUGAUGGAAAAUGUAACGGAGGUAUUAUAUUGAAAUAAAAUAGUACGUGAGGUAUGAAAGUGAAAUGUAUUGACACUAUUUGUAUUGACACUAUUUGAAGUAAAGUGUAAUUUACCCAUUAAUUAGUUAACGUAUUGACACUAUUUGUAAUUUUUGUUCUUGUUAAUAUAUAAUACUUGAUUAGGCGAGUCACAUUUGGAGUUGGAAAGAGUUGAUGAUGACAGAUUUAGCUGAAGAGAGCAAUAGUGCAAACAAAGAUCACUCCGUAAUUCAAGUAAGGGAGGAGGGAGAGAGACGUGAGAUAGAAAUAAGUGAUGUGGGUAACCAAACUUUGAGUGGAAAUGAAACAAAUAAAGACGAAUUAUUAGCGUCCCUUAUAGAAAAAAAGCUUCCCCAGGAAUUUCCAAAACCUGAUCCUACUUGCAUAUUCAGAGUCCCUAAUAAACUUGGCAGGGACAAUGAAAAUGUUUUUGUCCCACAAGUGGUUCCGAUCGGGCCCUAUCACCACGGAGGAAAAAAGUUCGAAGCCAUGGAACAAAUUAAGCUAUGGAAUUUGCAAUGCCUCCUCAAACGCCAACCAACUCCAGAAACCUGUUUGGUGAAGUUUGUCGAGGAAAUUAGAAGCAAAGAAGAGUUUCUUCGUAACUGCUAUGACGAAAAGCUUGGUGAUCAUCUCAGUAGCGAUCAGUUUGUAGAAAUGAUGGUGGUCGAUGGUUGCUUUAUUUUAGAACUUAUCCGCAAAGAUAAUCCAAUUUCCAUAUAUGAUGAUGUUUUCAGUAUGCCAGAGAUGUUGUCGAUAGUUAAAAACGACUUGUUCCUGCUAGAAAACCAGCUUCCGUGGAAAGUUCUCGACUGUUUAUUCAACCUGACAAAAGAAUCAGGAGAGAUUUCUCUAUAUCGACAAACUUUGCCAUUAAUUGGCGGAGUUAUGCCUAAUUGGAUGAUCACAGAUUACCAAAUUGUCGUGAGUAUUGUGGAUAAAGAACGGGAGACAUGGCAAUUCAGACAUUUACUUGACAAUGCAGGAGAUUUUCUUGUUGGAUCAUUAUCGAGGAAUAAGGACCGUCCACGUCGUUAUGGAUUUUGGGAUCCUAUUCCCUCAGUGACACAUCUUGAGGAGAUUGGAGUCAAAUUUCAACUUGCAUCCUUUGAGACAGAGCUGUUGGGCAUAACCUUCAACAGGGAAAAAGGAGUGAUGGAAAUUCCAAGGAUGAUAAUUGGAGCCAACACAGAAUGUGUCUUGAGAAACCUCAUAGCCUACGAACGGUGUUCAAUGAAGCCCCAUUACAUUUUGUCUUAUGCCAUGCUGCUGAAUCAGCUUAUCAAGUCUACCAAAGAUUUAGACUCUCUCGUUCAGAAAGGAAUUGUACUAACCAAUUUGAGCAAGGAGGACACGGUUUCUUUGUUCAAUAGGCUUUGCAAUGACACUGCAUCCAUCCUGUUCGUUUACUCUCAACUCGCCCUCGACGUGUAUUUCUAUAAUCGAGAUCGUUGGCUAAGGCGUUGGCUUGCUGGGAUAAAAAGGAAUUAUCUAUACAAUCCAUCGUCAAUCUGGUUAGUCUCAAAUGCGGUCAUCAUUAUUCUCAUUCUUACCGUCAUGCAAACCCUAUAUAGUGUUCUCGCCUACUACAAGCAAAAGUAGUAACCUUCCAAUUGAUCAAUGUUCGUUGGAGGACAUAAAACUCAACAAGACUUGCGUGAUUGCUGGCAAAGUUAUGAACUAAAGCAGUGUUGUAAUUGAUUAUGUGUGACAGUAAUACAGUUUGGAACUACCUUGCCAUCUUUUGUUUUCAACUUCUGAAUAAUUUGUAAAACUAUUUGGUAAUUUUUUAUCAUUAUUCAACAGUUUAUCAUGAAUAUAUUACUUAUGUUGAAUUAGUGGCCAAGUGGCCAAGUUUUGGCUAAAUAAAAUAAACAAAAGGAGGUAGACAACAUCAUUAUGUUUGUUGAAAAGAACAAAAAAGGUUAUGAUGAUGUUUGUAUAAAAAAAGGUAAACGCUAGCAAGUAGCUUUAUUAUUGGUUUUGUUUAUUGGGUGUUUUAUGAUGGAUGAAUGUGAGCAUCCGAAUGUAAAAAGAGGGAGGGUACACCAUUUCUGUUGUAGUAGCCCAUCUUUGAGAGAGCAAAGGCAGUAGCAGAGAGCAGAAAAGAAAAAGAAAGUGCUCAUCUCUUUGGUUAGUAAUCACUUACCAAGGUAGUUGUUGUUGUAAUAGUUUUAAGCUUUGUAUAGAGCGAAAAUUAUUCAUUAUAUUUCUCUCUAUUUGUUUCUUUGGUGUGUGAGAGUUGUUGGUUGUAUUGGGGUUUUUGGGUUGUGAGCUUGUCAACACUUUGUAAACUCCCAUUUGGUUGAUAGUGGAUUAUUAGGUGAGCUCCUACUACUCCGAGGACGUAUUCCAGUUACACUGACUGUUGAGGAACCUCGUUAAAAUCUUGGUGUUCUUUUAUAUUUUGUUCUUGCAUUCCAUUUGAUAUUUUUCUUGUGGGUUAGCUUGAAUUGGUUCCAGAAGGUUUGGUGCUAUCCUAGCACAACAACUUAGUAUCUAUAACGUUGAUUUGUUCUAUGCAUUUACUAAAUAAUCUCUGAUUGAAAUGAUUUUUUGUUAGGAGUGAUCUUCAAAUGAAAAUUAAGAAAUUGAACGAUUCCGAUUAUGAAAUUUGUAUGGUCAAAGAUAAGUUAUUCAAAAAAUAAUUGCGAUAGCAUUGAAUUCGAUGAAGGUGGUUUUGCUUACGAAGCAAAGCCUGCAAAACCCUAGAGGAAGUUUGGAAGAAAACUCUGCAGUCUGUACAUUCCAUUCUGCAGACUGAUUGUGUUUAUUCUUCUUCUUCAUAGUAAAUUUCUAAGCAUUAGACACAUAGAUAAUGUAAAGAACAAUAUAUAUAUAUAUAUAUAUAUAUAUGUGAAGGAUCAUUACUCUGCAGGAGUUAGCGCGGUUUCCGAAUGUUGCUCACCCUCUGGUUCAGCAGGAGCCUCUGGUUUUGAUAAAACAGGUGCACUUCAGCUGUAGCUCCAGCUACGGUUGGUGAAUUAAUUUUUCCAUUCUUCGCAUGCCUUCCUUCCUUUGCAUACUUUCUUCCUUUUCUACUUUUGCAUCUUUUGCAUCCUUUCCAUCAUUUGAAUCCUUUGCAUCCUUUCCUUCUUUUAUCCCUUUGCAUCCUUGCCAUCUUUGGCAGGUGGGGGCGUGAAAUCGUGCCUCAGGUAGAGUAAAUAGAUAAUCGGAAUAUGAUUGAACAAGGAUUUCAAUCCCAAAUCAAACUAAUAAAAUCUUGCAGCAUAAGUAAAUUAGCACAAGGAUUUUUGUACCCAAUGGUACAAGGAAAAAACCCAACGGGAAAAACCUCUAGAAAUCAACUAAGAAUGGAGUAUUACAAGACUCAAGAAGAUAAACUCUAAACAAGAAUCUACCCAAUACUUUUGUCUUGCCUUACUCGGUUCUUGUUUGAACUCUCUCGAAUCGAUGAUCUUCACGAACAAGCAUGCCAGGAAACAACAUCCAAUAUGGAAUAUGAAAUAUGAAGAUGCAAACUAGAAAUAAAAAGCUUCACAAAGUUGUUUUAUCAUUCUAAUUUUCCAUGAACUCACCUUUGCUUCUCUCAAUAUAAAUCUCUCAAAUCAGUUUUUGCAGAAAUGAGUAACAAAGGUCUUCAAGCUUUGUUCUUUAAUCAAGAGAAAUCACGUUCCAAAAAGAGUAGGAAAAAGUAGAAUUGGUUUUAACGUGAAAAGGAGGAAAACAAUUCUGCUGAUUGAUUUUAUUAUGAAUUUCAUUCCUAAUAAAACUUAAUCACAAAAAUAUAGUUUUCCUAAUAUGAUAUGCAAAUGCAAAUUACCUUGUAGACAUAGUCAACCCUUGAUUUGCUCAAUCUGGGUAAGUCUUGUGCCCCAAAUUAAUUUGCCUAAAAACUAGGUCUAAAUCUAAGAAACGAGGACACAAUUACAAGUCUAGGAAAUUAGCCAAUUCUAAAGUAAAUUCACAUUUACAAUCUCCCCCUUUGGCAUUUCCUAGACAAAACCCCAACACAAGGAAAAAAGAAACCACCCAAUCUCAACUUGAUCAAGGAUUCAACUCUGCACAAUAGUAAAUUAGAUAGCAUAUAGUUGUUAGAGUAUCACAACCACAAGUACUCCCCCUCAAUAUAACCACUUAUGCAGAACGAAGGCUCCCCCUUAAUCAUAGCAGAACAAGACUCCCCCUUAAUCAUAGCAGAGUGACCAAUUAACCUAGGGUUUGCACUAAUCUCCCCCUUUUUGGAAAGGAAAGCCAAAGAUGUAUGACCAUCACCUGUAUUUGGACAACUCUGCACACUUGCACAAGAAUCAUGGAAAGCGUUCAUACCCAUACAACACAUGCAAUAGAUGAACUAGAAGAAUGAAUGUAAAUGAAUGAUGAACAGAGAAACAUGGUAGCAAGACAUAAGCAAAACAAAUUUGUGGGGGGAAACAAGUAGAGCAUCACAAAAAGUUAUUUGGCGUGAUACAAGCAUAACAUUUCCGACAAACUCAUCAUGGAUGUUCAUAAACCACAAAUAAUAAAGAGAUUAAAAACCAAAGACAUGGAGCAGGAGUUGAGGUUGCCAAGUUAGAGAGCAAAGUGCUUAGAUUCAAUUAAGAAGAUGAAAAAGUGUGUAGUGUGAGUCAGCACAAAGGAGUUUACACAUGUGAAGAAUACUGUGCUUUUGACUAAUGAGAGCCCACAAUGCGUGAUCAUGUAGCCUUGCUUCCUAGAAUAGUUGACCUGCAUAAAUUUAAGUUUUGAGCAUGGGGACUGUGGACACCUUCUUUCAAUGGUAGCUAUACACUCCAAUCCACUGGCUUUAAGUUCUCAACAAGUGUGAGAGGUGUAAAGAUUUUCAAUAUGCCAUGCAGUAGGAAUUAUAGGUAGCUUUUUCCACAUCAUGUCGUCUUGAAAAAUUUUGCCCCUUAAUUGUUUUUUUUUAAUUACACACACACACAGAGUUGGUCCAAGUGUCAUAAGAAGCAUGGCCUAACGAAGACAAUGUGUGCCUCACUUUGUCUCAGUUGAAUUCUAUACAAGGGCACACACCAAGAAUAUUGACAGAGUGCAAGAAGAAUUUUUAUGGGUUGUCAAUCCAAGCACUCAGCAAAGGGACCAUUUUAACCACUGAUCUCAAGGGUUCAAUCUCAAUAUUAUUCACAGUUGUAAAACACGUUGGAAGGAGAGAUGUCAAUCUAAGAUCAAGUAAACACGAAGCAAUUGCCAGAGAGUUUAGCUCAUUUCCCAACAAGCAGUGAAGAACACCAAUCAAAACAAAAGAAAAAUAUAUAGAAAAUGUUUUAAGAUUUUUUUAAAUGAAAAUAAAAAUAAAAUGCAAUUUUUACACAAUGUGAUGCAUUUGAGACAGUAUCCUAGCUGUUCAAGAGAUAGUACAAAUGCCAAUGGACUUUCGGAGGUGUUCAAAUCUAGUAGUAUCCAAGGGUUUUGUAAAAAUAUCAGCAAGUUGAUUGUCACUAUUCACAUAAUCAUGUCGAAGAACCCCAUGUUCAACGAACUCACGAAUAAAAUGAUGUAGGAUAUCAAUAUGCUUGGUUCGGGAAUGCUUAACAUGAUUCUUAGAAAUAUUUAUGGCACUUUGAUUAUCACAGAAAAUGAUCAGCUUACCUUAAUUAAAGCCAUAAUCACACAACAUUUGCUUCAUCCCCAGAACUUGAGUACAACAACUCCUAGCUAUGAUGUACUCAGCUUCAGUUGUGGAAAGUGAUACACAUUUUUGUUUCUUACUGUGCCAUGAAACCAUAUUGUUUCCAAGAUAAAAACAGCCACCAGAUGUGCUUUUUCGAUCAUCAAUAUUUCCAACCAAGUCUGCAUCUGAAUAGCUAUCAUGCUCCUGUAAAGUGUCUGGUCAACAUCUUUUCAAGUUAGAUUUUAUGAAGCUUGGUGGUGGUGCUCAUGGGAUUUGUGACUAGCUUUGCACUUUCGAAUCCAAACUUUGAAACCAAGUCCUUUGCAUACUUAGUUUCAGAUAGAAGCAUCCCAUCUUUUAAUUGUUGUACCACCAAUGCUUUGAGUUGACAUUGGACCUACCAAAUCCAUAUGCAUAAGCUCAAGAAUUUUGGUGGUUCCAAUGAACUUAGUUACACUGUGAGCUGUCCUAGUUUGCUUCCCAAUUUGACAUCCUCCACACACUCCUUCAGGCCUUCCACUUAGUGAUGGCAGUCCAUGAACGUAAGACUUAUUUGACAACUUGAGCAAAUCUCGAUAAUUCACAUGUCCUAAUAUUUUGUGCCAUAACUCCACUUGAUCAUCCGCUGCCUUGAAACACAAAUUUGAAUUGUCAGUGCUAGUGCAAUAACAAUUCUCUUUUGAUCUUGGUGCACAUAUAACUUGUUUGCCACUUAGAUCACUAACUAUGCAAUUUUUGGUGUUGAAUUUAACUUCUCCAAACUCAUCACAUAACUGACUAAUACUCAAGAGAUUAGUAGUUAGUCCAUCAACAAGUAUAACAUCAUUUAAGGGAGGUGAGCCAACAAUCUUGACAAUACCUUUACCUAAAAUGCAAGCUUUCAUACUGUCACCAAAGGUUACAGACCCACUUACCUUCAUAUCGAUGAAAGAUCGAAAUCAAUUUUUGUCACCUGUCAUAUGUCUAGAACAACCACUAUCAAAGUACCAUUUGUCUUUGAGACAUGCACUCAGAGCUGUAAAUGCAACCAUACAAACAACAUUAGUCUCAUCUAUGUUAGAAGUGAUAGCUAAGGAACGUAGUAAGUUCUAUUGAACUUUUUCUUUUCUUGAUCCAGCUUGUUCCUUUUUCUUGCAUAACCAUGUCUGCUUCAUUGUUCCAGAUUGCAUUAAAGCUGACAAUCCGCGAACUUCUUUUGCUAACUCUGAAAUUUAAAUUUGAAGAUUUUCUGCAGUAAACUUGUUAAACUUUUUAACUCUAUUUUGACAUCUUGGCCUAAUAUGACAUGUUUCACCACAACCAUAACAAACUUGAUUAAACCUUUUUGGCACAAAACUAGAAAUUUGCAACGCUGCCUCGAUCGCAAAUCAAACAUCACCUUUAGAAACUAGAACAAGGUCUACACUUUAUUAUAUUCACUUAAAAGUAAGAUAUUUUAGAUUUAAAUCUAGUAGACGAUGAAAUUGAUACUAUUUAUUCCCUCAACUCCUUCUUAUAAAUAUAUCAGUAAAAAAUCUAUUAAUUUUAAGAAAAACUAAUGAAAAGAGCUUGAAAACUUUAAGUUUUAAUGAUAAGGACAAAAUAAAGGGUAAAGUGAAUAGUACCAUGAUUGAUUUUUUAGUGUAAAAAUGUGGUUUUUCGUUAAAAUGAACAGUACCGAGUGUUUUUCGUUAAAGUUCCCUUAAUUUUAACCUAAAUUUCAUAAGAUAAAAUCUCUUGUUUUGAAUAAAAUUUCUCACAACGCAAUGAAACGGUGAAAAACCAAAGCUCAUUUCACAAGCAAUCAAAUGAAAACCAGAACGACCAGACAAAAUAACAAUACAACAACAACAACAACAAAGCCUUUUCCCACUAAGUGGGGUCGGCUAUAUGAAUCCUAGAACGCCAUUGCGCUCGGUUUUGUGUCAUGUCCUCCGUUAGAUCCAAGUACUCUAAGUCUUUUCUUAGAGUCUCUUCCAAAGUUUUCCUAGGUCUUCCUCUACCCCUUUGGCCCUGAACCUCUGUCCCGUAGUCACAUCUUCGAACCGGAGCGUCAGUCGGCCUUCUUUGCACAUGUCCAAAUCAUCGGAGCCGAUUUUCUCUCAUCUUUCCUACAAUUUCGGCUACUCCUACUUUACCUCGGAUAUCCUCAUUCCCAAUCUUAUCCUUUCUCGUGUGCCCACACAUCCCACGAAGCAUCCUCAUCUCCGCUACACCCAUUUUGUGUACGUGUUGAUGCUUCACCGCCCAACAUUCUGUGCCAUACAACAUCGCUGGCCUUAUUGCCGUCCUAUAAAAUUUUUCCCUUGAGCUUCAGUGGCCUACGACGGUCACACACAACACGCCGGAUGCACUCUUACACUUCAUCCAUCCAGCUCGUAUUCUAUGGUUGAGAUCUCCAUCUAAUUCUCCGUUCUCUUGCAAGAUAGAUCCUAGGUAGCGAAAACGGUCGCUUUUUGUGAUAUUCGCUAGAUUGCUCCGGUCAUUAGUGUGGAUAAGUAUAUAAAUGGAUAGAGAUAGGAAAGCAAACACAAGAUGUACGUGGUUCACCCAGAUUGGCUACGUCCACAGAAUAGAAGAGUUCUCAUUAAUUGUGAAGGGUUUACACAAGUACAUAGGUUCAAGCUCUCCUUUAGUGAGUACAAGUGAAUGAUUUUGUACAAAUGACAUUAGGAAAUAUUGUGGGAGAAUGAUCUCGUAAUCACGAAACUUCUAAGUAUCGGAGUGUGGUGUCGUCUUGACUUGCCUUAUCUGUCUCAUAGGUAGAUGUGGCAUCUUCUUCUCUGAAAGUACUCUUCCUCCAUCCAGGGGUGGUAUCUUUAACUGGUGGAGAUGCACAAGGUAAUGUAUCAAUUUCACUUGAAGCUUACUUGUAGUCUCAGGCUUGGUCAAGCGCGAUACAAACCAUGUAGUAGGAGUCCCCCAAGUCGCCGAGCUAGGGGGUCUGCUGAAAGAGGUGACAGACAAGGUAAGCAAUCAGAGCUCCGACUGAUUGUUCACCUUCUCCCCAUCUUGCAGCAGCAUGAAGGAUAAAGAGAAGAAAAAUGAGAAGAGAUGAUAUGAGAUACUUUUGCUUUUGAAGAAGUAACUUUCCACAGGCUUAUUCUUGAACUGAGCUGGAGGGUUUUCUGGUUUACGUGGCUAGAGUUUUUUAUUUUUUAUUUUUUGGGGGAAAAUAGAAAGACUGUUGUAAAUAGUGGGUAUGUUUGCCCACAUGUGUAUAGUAAAGUACUACAUGUGUAUAGUAAAUACUCACAUGUAUAUAGUAAGCCUUUCACUAUGUUGCUUGUGAUUUGCUUUUAUAAAAGCAAAUCUUAUGGAACACAACAAAAAAUAGGGAGAUGAAUGUGGGAGACUCACGGAAGAGAUAUGAAGGAAGAAAGGGAGAGAGAAAAGAGAGGAAGAGGAAGAGAGAAAAGAGAGGAAGAUGAUAGGAGAUAAUAGAGAGAGUUAUCUUUGUACUUUUAUUAUUUCAGAUUAUAAUGAAAGCACCACUGCUGUCCAGAGGACGUACUUCAGUCAUACUGACUGUAGAGGAACCUCGUAAAUUUUAUGUCUUAUUUAUUUAUUCUACUACAUACGCCGUCGAUUUUAUAACAAAGACUUCUAUGAAAUGAAAUAGUGUAAAAGGACUUGCAAGUCAAUUGACUUAUGGUUGACGGUGGCAGCACAGUAGGAAGUGUUUCUUCCUCACAUUAUAUAAGAGUACGGAACUAGAAGUAUAGAUCUAUGUAUGUUCUGUGGGAGGGAGGGGGGCCGAAGAAUUCUUCAUUCGGCCUCAUAAGUUUCUCAGCCUGAAUAUAUAGUCAUCUCUUGGAUCAUCCUGGUAAGUUUUCCUACCAAUUGUCUAUAAAUAUAAGAUUUAGAGGCAUUAUUAGUAUGAAAUUUCUUCUUUUUUUUUCUCUUCUAUUUUUCAUUAUAGUAUAUGCUGGAAAAUUGUGUAUAUUAAAUUGAACUCGGUUAGGUCAUCAUUUAGCCGAAUUAACGAAUUUCAAACCACCGUUUCAUUCUUACGAGACUUCUUUAUUCGCGAGCACAAACGUCACUACUUGUAGGAUUCGGUUGUAUGUAGCCCAAUUAAAUUGCUUACGUACUUUGUGCUAGAAAUAAAAAUCAAACCGAUGUAGUUCUCUCGCCUACACCUUGCAAGAAUCGAACUCGUAGGGAGGAAUUGUUUGAAGGAUGGAGGCUUGGAGGUUAAGCCAAACCCAUCCUCAUUGACAUAUUCUAUAUCUUUUAAUUUAUUUUCCAAUAAUUAAAAAAAAAGUAUUACUCAAAAGACAUUAGUAUAAUCCAUGUUCUAUACUGAGUGAAUUACUAUUUAUUCAAUAAAUACAUUAAAUAAACCUGACUUUCUAAAAUUUCUGUAUGGUUCCAAUAAUAAAUUUGGUAGUUUAAUUAAUUAACGUAUUGACACUAUUUGUAAUUUUUGUUCUUGUUAAUAUAUAAUAUUUGAUUAGGUGAGUCACAUCUGGAGUUUGAGAUAGUUGACGAUGACAGACUUAGCUGAGGAGAGCAAUAGUGCAAAUAGAGAUCACACUGUAAUUCAAGUAAGAGAGGAGGGAGAGAGAUGUAAGAUAGAAACGAGUGAUGUGGUUAACCAAAAAACAAAUAAAGACGAAUUAUUAGCGUCCCUCAUAAAAAAAAAGCUUCCGCAGGAAUUUCCAAAGCCAGAUCCUACUUGCAUAUUCAGAGUCCCUAAUAAACUUGGCAGGGACAAUGAAAAUGCUUUUGUCCCACAAGCGGUUCCAAUCGGGCCCUAUCACCACGGAGGAAAAAAGUUCGAAGCCAUGGAACAAAUUAAGCUAUGGAAUUUGCAAUGCCUCCUCAAACGCAAACCAACUCCAGACACCAGUUUGGUGAAGUUUGUCAAGGAAAUUCGAAGCAAAGAAGAGUUACUUCGUAACUGCUAUGACGAAAAGCUUGGUGAUCAUCUCAGUAGCGAUCAGUUUGUAGAAAUGAUGGUGGUCGAUGGUUGCUUUACUUUAGAACUUAUCCGCAAAAGGAAUCCGAUUUCCAGAGAUCAUGAUGUUUUCAGUAUGCCAGAGAUGUUGUGGAUGGUUGAAAAAGACUUGUUCCUGCUUGAAAACCAGCUCCCGUGGAAAGUUCUCGACUGUUUAUUCAACCUCACAAGAACUUCAAUAGAGAUUUCUCUACAACAACUUACUUCGGAAUUAAUUUGCCAAGUCAUGGAUAAUUCGUGUAUGCACACUUACUUCAUUUUACUAAUUAUGGAUAAUGAAAGGGAGACAUGGCAAUUCAGACAUUUACUUGACAAUGCAAGAGAUUAGCUCGUUGGAUCAUUAUCGAGGAAUAUGGACCGUCCACGUCCUUAUCGAUUUUGGGAUCCUAUUCCCUCAGUGACACAUGUUGAGGAGAUUGGAGUCAAAUUUCAAUGUGCAUCCUCGGAGACACAGCUGUUGGGCAUAACCUUCAACAAGAAAGAUGGAGUGAUGAAAAUUCCAUAUAUGAAAAUUGGAGCCAACACAGAAUGCGUCUUUAGAAACCUCAUAGCCUACGAACGGUGUUCAAUGAAUCCCCAUUACAUUUUGUCUUAUGCCAUGCUGCUGAAUCAGCUUAUCAAGUCUACCAAAGAUUUAGACUCUCUCGUUCGGAAAGAAAUUGUAGUAACCGACCUGAGCAAGGAAGACACUGUUUCUUUGUUGAAUAGGCUUUGCAAUGACACUGCAUUCAUUCCGUUCAUUUACUCUCAACUCUCCUUUGACGUGUAUUUCUAUAAUCGAGAUCGUUGGCUAAGGCGUUGGCUUGCAAGGAUCAAAAGGGAUUAUCUGUACAAUCCAUCGUCAAUCUGGUCAGUCUCAAAUGCGGUCAUCAUUAUUCUCAUUCUCACCACCAUGCAGACCCUAUAUAUGGUGUUCUCGCCUACCACAAUUAGUAACCUUCCAAUCAGUCAAUGUUCGCCGGAGGACAAAAAAUUCAACGAGACUUGUGUGACUGCAGGCAAAGUUAUGAAAUAAAGCAGUGCUGUAAUUGAUUAUGUGUGACAGUCAUACAGUUUGGAACUACCUUGCCAUUUAUUGUUUUCAACUUCUGGAUAAUUUGUAUAACUACUUGGUAUUUUUUUUUAUCAUCAUUCAACAGUUUAUCAUGAAUAUAUUACUUGGUAUGACGUUGAUUUGUUCUAUACAUUUACUAAAUAAUCUCCGAUUGAAGUGAUUUUUUGUUAGGAGUGAUCUUCAAAUGAAGAUUAAGAAAUUGAACGAUUCCGAUUAUAAAAUUUGUACGGUGAAAGGAACGUUAUUCAAAAAAUAAAUGCCAUAGCAUUGAAUUCGAUGAAGGUGGUUUUGCUUACGAAGCAAAGCCUGCAAAACCCUAGAGGAAGUUUGGAAGAAAACUCUGCAGUCUAUACAUUCCAUUCUGCAGACUGAUUGUGUUUAUUCUUCUUCUUCAUAGUAAAUUUCUAUGCAUUAGACUCAAAGAUUAUGUAAAGAACCAAAAAAAAAAACAAAAAAAUGAAGGAUCAUUACUCUGUAGGAGUUAGCGUGGUUUCCGAAUGUUGCUCACCCUCUGGUUCAGCAGGAGCCUCUGGUUUUGAUAAAACAGGGGCACUUGCAGCUGCAGCUCCAGCUGCGGUUGGUGAAUUAAUUUUUCCAUUCUUCGCAUCCUUUCCUUCCUUUGCAUCCUUUCCUCCUUUUCUCCUUUUGCAUCUUUUGUAUCCUUUCCAUCCUUUGAAUCCUUUACAUCCUUUCCUUCUUUUUCUCCCUUUGCAUCCUUGCCAUCUUUGGCAGGUGGGGGCAGCAUCAUGUGUGGCGGAGGGUUCUGUUUCAACUUCAGGAAAAUCUACCGCAUCCUUGAAAGAUCAGUCGGUUUACCAGGUUUUGGGCCCUGGUGAAAACAAUUGGGGGUUGCUUGUCAGGAUCUUUCUACCCUCUCUUCUUCUCAAUAUUAGGAACCUCACGAGGAAUCAUUUGUCAGCUUCUUUGUGGAACUUCUCUUGGUUGGCCAGGUACAGCUGCACAGAAAGUCAAAUUCACGCCAUAGAUAUGAAGCACUGAUGGUAAUCGUAGAAUGCAUGUACAAGCGAGCAAGGGAGAGGGAGGGAGGGUGAGAGAGUUAGGACUGUGGAAGAUGUAGAACAACAUGAUGGGUUUUAGAAUUACUACCUUCUCCCUCUCUCUGUUGUGAGCUUUGUUAGUUUCACAAUUGAGCUUCCGUUUCUCAUAGAAGGCCCGCUUAAAUUCUUCAGCUUCCUCGAUAAUUUGGUUCCGCAUCUCCCUUUAGCUUUUUUCCUUUUCCUCUAGAUGAAUGACAUUUAGGCUGCAAGUAUUAACGCCAUCAGUGCAGGGGAAAACACUGGGAAAAAAAAAAAGAUGUGAUUUCUGAACUCAUUUGUUUAAAAUAAUUAUAAGAAGCAAAACCAACAAGCUUUCAUUAUCUCGUUUGGUUAAGCAUCUAACAAGUAAAACCAAUAAUGCAGAGACCCAGGAGUUCACUAUGUUCUCAGGCUCUCGGCCAACCAUACAAGGAACUCCAACGUUGGUUUAACCAUAAAGGUAUGAAAAUCUACAGGAUUGGGUGAUCGCAAUAGAAAAAAUUAGUAUAAAAAUGUUGCAUAGCCUAGUACGAUAGUACAAUGGAAUGGAAUCUGGGAAACGCUAGCACUUGGAACCCCUUAAUCCUGAAAGAAGCAAUAUACACAGCUAACAUGGAAUCCACUGGCAAUUCAACAACAUCUAGUUUCUAUCCAGUGAACCAGAAGUGAAUAUUAGGUUCCUUUUAAAGACUAGAAGAGUCAUUGUAAUCCAUCUUAAAUGAUGGUCUGUUACCUGCCAUUAGUUCCUAUACCAACGGUCGGAAUCAGACGAAUUAGUACAUAUGCAAUGAUCCGGUCAAGAUCUGAGCUCAUUUUUCAACCUCAACGGAGGUAACCGCGAAGUAACAACAUAGGGCAGAUCCCAUGGAAGCUAUUAGACAAUUAGUAAAAGAUGAAUGCUUACAAAACUGAAAACAAAAACAUUUAAUCAAAGAAAAAAAUACAUACUUGAUCACAAAGGGCUUGCAGCCUUGCAAACUUGCAGACAAAAACCCCAAUAUUCGAAGACCAACGUUUCCUGAAAGCAAAAAUCAAACCAGAUCAGACAACCAAAAGCAAAUCACCAAAAAAAUUUAAAUCAGGUACACAAAAAUAAAACCAGUUCGAUAUUGAGACCUUAAGAAAUCUUGGCGUCGGGGACGUCGUUGACCGAGUGCUUCUUAUCCUCGAACUGGAGCUGGUGACCACCGGGAAGUUCGCUGUUCUGUUUGGCCAAGAAUUUGGAGCUUCGGAGAGAAAGCUAUGCAGGAAAAUUAAAGUAGAUGGAGUUGACGAAGGGUAGCUAAAUCGGAGUUGGACGAUAACGGCAAAUGGAGAACGAAGGGUUUCUGGGAGAGAGAGGGAGAGAGAACAACAGAGAAAAAGGGAGAGGGAGCAAACGAAACCAAAACCACAGAAGCCAAAACAAUCGAACUCGAAUUAGAGGAAAACAAGUGACAAGCAACAGAAGGAAAACUAGUGAAAUGAAAGGGAAGAUUGCCAGAAGACGUUGCGAUGGUCGACAGGUGGAGAGGAAGGGCAAAAACGCCUUUUUACUGUAGAGAAUCCUAAACAAAAGGCAGCCAGCACAGCAUUGUAAGGGCAUUUUCAUCAGUUUGGGUUUUAUGUUGUGACCUGUGAAUAAUAUUUGGAUGGUCCACAUGAAUAGUUUAUUACUAUGUAUGUACAGUAUUUUUACUAUUUAUUUGUGAAAAAUUUGUAAAGUAAAUAGUGUAAAAAGACUUGCAAGUCUAUUGACUUUGAGUGUUGAGAGUCUUUCAUUCUAAUAUUGUAUGAGUUUGGAACUCAUAAUUUUCUUCAUCCGACCUCAUAAGUUUCUCAAAGUUGGAUGGAUCAUCCUGGUAAGUUUUCCUACCAAUUGCCUACAAAUAUUGGACGUUUUAGAUCUCGAGGAAUUAUUAGUAUGAAAUUUCUGUUUUUUCUAUUUUUAAUUAUAGUUUAUUCUGAAAAAUUAUGUAUAUUAAAUGGAUCCCACCUAGUGGAAUAAUGAAAUUCAAACCUCUCAUCUUGUUCUUGCGAGUCUUCUUUGUUCGCGAACACAAAAAUCAUUACUUGUAGAAUUCGGUUGCAUCUAGCUUAGUUAGAUUGCUUAUGUACCAUGUUCUCUCACACCAACAUAUCUAGGCUUCUCCUUGCUAGAUUCGAACUCCAAGGAGAGAGAUUUGUGUCAAGGCUGUCUGUGAGGGAGAAAUUCCACGAAGGAAUUUUGGCUCAUAACCAUGCCCAAUGACUUGUAUAUAGUAUGAUAUUGACAAACUUUUGGUACACUAAUUAUUCAAUUCACAUAGUAUGAUAUUGACAAUGCCAUUCUUACUGGCCAUUUAUUUUAGGGAACUUUAACGAAACGCUCAUAGUACAGUUCACUUUAACGAAAAACCACAUUUGUACACUAAAAAGUCAAUCAUGGUACUAUUCACUUUACCAUUUAUUUUGUCCUUAUCAUUAAAACUCAAAAUUUUCAAAUCUUUUUUUAUUAGUUUUCCUUUUAUUUUAUUCCCAAAUCUGAAUUCUUUUUAAACUUUUAUUCACUGAUGCUUUUAGCCCAAAACCCUUUUAAGCCUUCAAUUAGGCCUUUAGCCCAACCUAUUUUUAAAAGUUUAAAAUUACCAACAACAAAAAUUAAUAAUUCAUAAUUCACAUUUCAUACAUAUAUAGUAACUCAAGUCAUGCACAAAAAUUUAAGAUAAAAGCUAAGUUACAAAUUAAAUACAAGUUAAAUUAUAAACCAAAUGAAACGUGAAAAGUAUCUGAAUUUCAAAAUUUAUUCCAGGCACCAUUUUCUUCGAUCUUAAGAUGUAAAAGCAUUUGGAUAAGGCAUGGAUAUAAAACUACCAUAUUUGGUGUUGCUAAUGCCUUAAUCUUCUCUGAUAAAAAACACUUAUAUUCUGUAAAUUAAACAGAAAAUUUGAUUAUCAUCUUUUAAUACAUGUACAUAUAAUUAAUCUAAAGAGUACCUUUCUCGUUAUAACCCGCUCGAACCCAACCCAAUUUCAACCUAUUCAUUGAUUGGAUUGAGUUGGGUUGAUUAUUUGCCUGUUCAUCUCUAACCCAACUCAACCCAACUAGCGAAACUCAAUCUAACAAAAUUGUAACCCAUAUCAAUUAAUGCUCAUACUACACCCAAGUGAGCCAGGUCCAAAAACCAACGCGCUUUCUAAUAUUUUUUUUAAUAAAUUACCCUUUAUAAUUACUUAACCUUUUAGGGAAUAAGAGACUUUAAUUAGUCAGCUCAUAUUUGUAGUCUCUAAAUCCUAAAGCUUUAUAGUAGAUGAAUUUAUGAAAUUAAAGUUAGCUAGCUUUAAUGCUACUUGGCUUAAUUUUUUUAGGAAUUCUUAAAAACUAAGUUGUUACAAGAUUAAACUUGAAAAAGUUGGGCAACCCAAACCCAACCUAAGUAAACCCUAACCCAAUUAAACCCAAGCCCAAAUGAACCCGAAUGAAACCUAACUCGAACCUAAGCUCAAAUUGUAAAAGUUGGGUUAGAAUUGGGUUGACCUUCCAAUCCACCCAGCCCGCUUGAGUUGCACCCCUAAAUAAUGUCAAGGUUUUAGACGGGAUAAAUAAGCAGGUGUAAGGAAGAUAAAAUAGGUGGGGCCAGAUUAAUAGUCCGGUGCUUAUUUAGUAAAAAAAUUCAUGAAACACCUGCUUCGCAUUAUAUAAUACUAUCUGAUGUCUUAUACAGUGUGCCAAACGAGGCCAUAGAGUAUUAAAAUUGGGACCGAAAACAGAUUUCAAAACUUUCAGAUUAUAACCUAAAGAGUAUUUUUUAGGCCCUCAAGUUUAAAUGCCCCAUUAAGUCCAACCAUUGAAUAAUUUUAAUUCAUGCUUUCAAAAUCAUCAAAUUCUACAAUUUCAAGAGAAACCUCUAUGUAUAUUUGUCUUGCUAGGGGUUAGGUGGAGGUUUGGAUCUUAACCCAAGCCUAUCAUCCUUGGCAUAUUCUAUAUCUUUUAAUUUAUUUUCCAGUAAUUAAAAAUAUUUUACCAAAGAGAGUAUAAAUAUAUUGGAUGGAUUGUUGUUUAUUUAGUAAAUACAUUAAAUAAAUCUAGCAGUAUAAAAUUUCUGUACGGUUCCAAUAAUAAAUUUGGUAGUUUAAUUAAUUAAUGUGUUGAUAUUGUUUGUAAUUUUUGCUCUUGUUAAUAUAAAAUUCCAGAUUAGGCAAGUCACAUUUGAGUUGGAAAGAUUUGACAAUAACAGACUCAGCUGAUGGGAGCAAUGCAAACUGUGACCACUCCGUAAUUGAAGUAAGAGAGUAGGUAGAGAGAUGUGAGAUAGAAAUAAGUGAUGUGGGUAACCAAACUUUGAGCGGAAACAAAAACAAUCAAGACGAAUUAUUAGCGUCCCUCAUCGAAACAAAGCUUCCCCAGAAAUUAUCAGAAGCAGAUCCUACUUGCAUAUUUAGAGUCCCUAAUAAACUUGCCAGGGACAAUGAAAAUGCUUUUGUUCCACAACUGGUUUCAAUCGGGCCGUAUCACCACGGAGGAAAAAAGUUGCAAGCUAUGGAACAAAUUAAGCUAUGGAAUUUGCAACGCCUCCUCGAUCGCAAACCAACUCCAGACACCAGUUUGGUGAAGUUUGUCAAAGAAAUUAGAAGCAGAGAAGAGUUUCUUCGUAGCUGCUAUGACGAAAAGAUUGAUCAUCUGAGUAGCGAUCAGUUUGUAGAAAUGAUGGUGGCCGAUGGUUGCUUUAUUAUACAAGUUAUCCGCGCAUGCAUGGUGAAUAAAGAUCGUGAUCCUUAUGGUGUUUUGAGUCUGCCAGGGAUGUUGUCGAGAGUUCAAAACGACUUGUUUCUGCUUGAAAACCAGCUUCCGUGGAAAGUUCUCGACUGCUUAUUCAACCUCACAACAUCAGACAAGUCUUCUCUACAUGAACUCACUUUGGACCUAACUUGCGAAAUUAUGAAUAAUCCGAUUAUUACUUAUUACUUAGGAUACAAAUUUAUGGAUAAGCUUAGGACGACAUGGCAAUUUAGACAUUUACUCACCAAUGUAAGAGAUUUGCUUGUUGGAUCAUCAACGAGGAAUGAGGACAUUGAGGAGAUGCGUUACAAAUACUGGACUGCUAUUCCCUCAGUGACACAUCUUGAGGAAAUUGGAGUCCAAUUUCAAUGUGCACCCCUGCAUACAUGUCUGUUGAACAUAAAUUUCAACUUCGAAAAGGGAGUGAUGGAAAUUCCGUGGAUGAAAAUUCGAGCGAACACAGAAUCUCUCUUCAGAAACCUCAUAGCAUACGAACAGUGUUCACUGAUGCCCCAUUACAUUUUGUCCUAUGCCACGAUGUUCAAUCAGCUCAUCAAGUCUACCAAAGAUUUAGACCAUCUCAUUCAGAAAGGAAUUAUAUACACCGAGUUGAGCAAGGAGGACACUGUUUUUUUGUUCAGAAGGCUUUGCAAUGACACUGAAUGUAUCUCGUUCCUUUACUCUAAACUCGCAAACGAUGUGGAUAGAUAUUCGCACUGUCAUUGGCGAAGGAGUUGGCUUGCAGGGAUCAAAAGGGAUUAUCUAUACAAUCCAUCGUCAAUCUGGUCAGUUUCAAAUGCGGUCAUCAUUGUUCUCAUUCUUACCAUCAUACAAACCGUAUAUAGUGUUCUCGCCUACUACAAACAGUAAUUAAAACUGAACAAGACUUGCUUGACUGCAGGCAAAGUUAUGAAAUAAUCACUCUUUGAGUUUGCAUUUGUUUGGCUAUUUUCCAUAUAAAAUAAAGCGGUGAUGUAAUUGAUUAUGUGUAACAGUCAUACACUGAAACUAUCUUGCCAUUUAUUGUUUUCAACUUUUGGAUAAUUUGUACCACUAUUUGGUAUUUGUUUAUCAUCAUUCAACACUUCAUCAUUAAGAAUAAUGAAAUUGGUGUUUUCAUUCAUUUGAAUGACUAAAUGAUUUCCGAUUAAAAUAAUUUUUUGUCACGGUGAUCUUUCAAAUGAAAAUUAAGAAAUUGAACGAUUCUAAUUAUGAAAUUUGUACGAUCAAAGAUAUGUUUUUCACAAGGGAGGAAUGAGCUUAUCCCCCAAGGGAGAAUGCAAGUUUAUGCAAAAAAAAUAAAUGUGAAAAAUUGAAUUCGAUGAAGUUGUUUUCCCUUAGAAACUAAGCCUACAAAACCCUAGAGCAAGUUAGGAAGAAAAUAUCUGCAGUCUGUACAUUCCAUGCUGCAGACUCUGGAUCAUUGACAAAUGAUUUUGUUUAUUCUUCGUAGUAAAUUUCUAAGCAAUAGAAUCAAAGAUAACGUAAAAAAUGAAAAAAAAUAUGAAGGGUCAUUACUCCGCAGGAGUUGGCGUGGCUUCCAAAUGUUGCUCACCCUCUGGUUCAGCUGAAGCCUCUGGUUUGAUGAGCCGGGAGUACCAUUGGCAGUGACAUCUUUGGCAGGUGAAACAGGUGCGCUUGCAGCUGCAGCUCCAGCUGCGGUUGGUGAAUUAAUUUUUCCAUUCUUCGCAUCCUUUCCUUCCUUUGCAUCCUUUCCUCCUUCCUUGGCAUCCUUUGUGUCCUUUCCUCCUUCCUUGGCAUCCUUUGCGUCCGUUCCUUCUUCCUUUGCGCCCUUUCCUCCCUUUGCAUCUUUUGUAUCAUUGCCAUCCUUUGACUCCUUUCCAUCUUUUUCUCCCUUUGCAUCCUUACCAUCUUUGGAAGGUGGGGGUGGCAUCAUGUGCGGCGGUGGGUUCUGUUUCAGCUUCAGGAAAAUCUGCCGCAUCCUUGAAAGAUCAGUCGGUUUACCAGGUUUUGGGCCCUGGAUGACAACAAUUGAGGGCUUCUUGUCAGGAUCCUUCUUCCCUCUCUUCUUCUCAAUAUUAGGAACCUCACGAGGAAUCAGCUCCGCUAUUGCUUUCCAGUAAUGUUUGUCAGCUUCUUUGUGGAACUUCUCUUGGUUGGCCAAGUACAGCUGCACAGAAAGUCAAAUUCACGUCUUAGAUAUGAAGCACUGAUGGUGAUCGAAGAAUGCAUGUACAAGCAAAUAAGGGAGAGGGAGGGAGGGUGAGAGAAUUAUGAUUACGGGAGAGGUAGAACAACAUGAUGGGUUUUUAGAAUUACUACCUUCUCCCUUUCUCUGUUGUGAGCUUUGUUAGUUUCACAAUUGAGCUUCCGUUUCUCGUAGAAGGCCCGCUUAAAUUCUUCAGCUUCCUCAAUAAUCCGGUUCCGCAUCUCCCUUUCCCUUUUUUCCUUUUCCUCUAGAUGAAUGACAUUUAGGCUGCAAGUAUUGAGCCAACAGGUCAAAUCAAAAUAUUUUCAAUGACUUUUAUCAGUGCAAGGGAAAACAUGUGAUUUCUGAACUCAUUUGUUUCAAAUAAUUAUACAAAGCAAAACCGACAAGCAAUAUACCUAAAUUCAGAAACCCAUAUUCCCAAAAGAAGCAAUAUACCUAGGUAACAUGGAACCCAUUGGCAAUUCAACAUCUAGUUUCUAUCCAGUGAACCAGAAGUGAAUCUUAGGUUCCUCUUAACGACUAGACAUUGUCUCCAUGUAAUAUCAUGGCCUGUUACUUGCCAUUAGUUCCGAUACAAAUGGUCGGAAUCUGCUAACGAAAACAAUCAAAAAAGGAAAGACGAAUUCGCACAUAAGCAAUGAUCCAGUCAAGAUCUAAGCUCAUUUUGCAAGCAAAUCAAUCAAAGUUACCCCAUUUCAAAUCUACACGCACAAAAACUCCUACAGUAAAGACGACUUUUUUACUUACCCUCAUAUCCCACUUACCAAAUACUUGGACUAAGCUCAACAUCGUUAAUUCAGACCCCAAACUAAUAAGAACAAGAUGUUAUUUAAGCCCCUUAAUCCCAUGCAUGCACAACAUUAUUAAUCAUAAAACAGCUUUUAAAUCCAACUUAAUCAAAUAAUUAGUGUCAUGGUUAUAAUUAAGCUCUGUGUUUGCAAGCGAACAACUUCCAUUCAGAAUCGGAAUCUUUAAUAAUUAUAUGGUCAAAUUAACAAAUUAGGAUCUGAGCUCACCGACGCCACUCACGGCGAGCAAAGCCUUCCUCCCGCAUCUCCUCGGGCGGAGGCAGUACCGGCUCACCGGAGGCGAAAAUGUCCCCGUCGUCAUCAGCAAUGCCGCCACCGCCACCCACGACGCCAUUGUCCUCGGGCACCGCCGAAUCAAAAGGUGACACGAAUUCCGGGUUAGGGGUGGAAAUGCCGAAGCCGUACACCUCGGGGGACUGCUGCUGCUGAUCAAUGUUGUGGUGGCCGUCGCCACCGGGGAGAACGACGUCGUCCUGGAAAUCAGAGUGGAGGGGAGGGGGAGGGUCGACGGCGGCGGGGGAGAAGUCGUCGUGGUGGGUGGGAGGGUUGAACGACGAGUCGUAGUUAUGGGAAGGAAGGCCGGGGUCGUGAGCCAUGUAGGCAUCGUCGUCGAAGGGCUGGCCGGCGGGGGAGUGGCUGUGGAGGUCGUUGGAUUCGUCGUCGUUGGGGAAGGAGUCGAAGGACGACAUCGUUCAGAGGGGAAACGGUCUUGUCGCAGAGUAAUUGAGGUAAUGGCCUUAAAGCUUGUUUUGAUCAAGUGCGAUCGGCAUGUUCGGAUCGAGAGAGAGAGUGCGUGGCAGUGAAUGAUCAUUUAGUGUAUGAUCAUAUGAGAGUUUCUCUCUCUGUCGCUCGGAAUUGCUACGUGUGUUGGAGCCAUAAUUGUUGGUGCGAUGGGAGCAUUUGGAGUUGCUACGUGCAUUUGUAGUUCGAAUCUUUUGGCAUUCAUUUGUGCAUGGGGACUCUUGUGACUAUCUUGAAAAUUUGACACCUAUUCAUUCACCUAACAAAACUUAAUACUUGUUAAGUCUUCUGUUAUCUCCUAUUUAAUUAAAAAAUUAAAUGAGAAGCGAUGCAAAAGGCAAUCUAAUGCGAGGUGUAUUUUUCAAUUUUUUUUUUCUUUCUAAUUUUUUGUCAUUUUUCCUGCAUACCCUGAGAUUUGAAUAUCAGACUCCCAAAGUGUUGAUUUUUGAGUUCAACGAAGUGUGUAUAUUUUUCAUAAACAAGAAUUACAAGACAAAGGUCUCAUAAAAGGAGACAAAGCAAGGAAGAAAAAACCUACCCAAUAAACAAAUGCAAACAGCUACAUAGUAGUAACUAGAGAGAGAAAA
RNAcentral lists this long non-coding RNA (79278 nucleotides) under Malus domestica (apple). RNAcentral's name for it is "long non-coding RNA (MDOM_LNC017741)". The stretch from base 21949 to 22030 matches the Rfam family "tRNA". Lineage: Eukaryota; Viridiplantae; Streptophyta; Magnoliopsida; Rosales; Rosaceae. The record is from RNAcentral.